GGGCGCGCCCGCUCUCCGCCUCCCCCGCGCGCGCCCGCCGCCGCCCGGCGGCCUCCUCUGUUUUUGUUUUGAUGGAGCCCGCGUGCAGCUGGCGCGUGUCGAGUCACGUGCCGUGGGCGGGAGGGGGCCGUGGCGCGGGAGGCUAGGGCGCGGUGACGCGGGUCGAAGGGGCUGGCGCCCGCCGGGGCCACCAAGGGGACGCAAAGGGGCGUGUGGCCCCCGACGGAGCCCGGGAGUGCGGGUGGUCCUUCGCUGGCUGGUGCUCUUGGCGCUCCUCGGGGAGCAGUGACGGGUUCCUAGUCGUAGCACCUCGGGGAGCCUCGUCCAGGCGGAGGGCCGGCCUUCGCUGCUCAGCUCAGAACUCGGACCUUACAGGUGGUGUAUGCAUCCCGGUGGAAGUGCAGGCACUUCUGAGUGCUUCUGAAGGCUGGCUGCCCGUUUGGAGAGUUUUAAAAAGAAUUCUAACACCCGGCCCAAUCCCAGAUGAAUUGAACCCACCUCUUAUAGGGCCUGGAGAGUGUAUUUUUAACCCCGUCCUCCCCCUAAGUGAUUUUAGUGCAGAGUGAGAAUUUAUAGAAGUAACCAGCUUGAUGUGAUAGCUAGUUGUGAAAGCAUACUUAUUUAGGGACAAAACAAGAAAAAUAGCUAAAAUAGCCAACAUGUAUUGAUCUGUCACUCAGUGGGGUCUCCAUAUGUCAGAUACUGUGGCUACCCAAACAUGUUUCUACUCAUAGAAGUACUGUUAGCUCUGUUUUGCAGCUAGGGGAGUGGAAGCUCCGAGUUUUAAGUGAGAGUUGAUCAAGGAGGACUGCCCUGAUCCAGGACCUAGAGAGGUCGAGUUUAGAACCGCUACUUUCAACAGCCGUAUGUCUCCUGGAAAAUGUACCUUUGCUUAAGGGCUCCGUGUUUGUGUGAAUAAUAGUAGUUAUGCUUGCUUAUGUGGGUAUGUUUUACUGUUAAGAUUUUUGUCUGAAAAGCUUUGCUUCUAUAAGGGAGGAAAGUUACUUGGUGAUUCUUUAAGGACUGUAGGCGACCUUUUACAGAAGUUUACUGUGGACCGAAGAGAGAGGGGAUCUCCGUAAUUUGAAGUGAAUAGGUUCUCUGGAAGUUUCUUGUUCUGUUUUUGAGACUUGAACAUAUGUGUAAAGUGAAGGCGAGAGCCCUAAAGAGGCACAUAUUUUCCAAGUAUUUACGUGAGCAACCACAAGAGUGGUUUAGGUUGCUGGAUGCGAUACAGUUGUGCUGUGGUCAGCUGGAUGUACCCAGAAAUGCAGUACAGUACAGAGUAGCACAAGUUCUGCGAUUAGAAUUUUGGAGAGAGAGAAAAAAAAACUGGUUUGGAGUACAGAAACUGUGGUUACAUCUCCUUUCUCCCCUUAAUUUGUUUCAUUUGUCUUCUGAUCGGAUAAACUGUUGGUGGGACAUUUAGAUAUGGGAGUAGUCUAUUUCACUGGUAUUUUCUGUACAGAGAUUCCAGAGAAAACUCAGAGUAAACAGAGGUCUCACCCUGAAAACAAACGAUCCUAGCUAUAGUGUAUUUGUGACCAAAAUGUAUUAUUAAGAGGUACCGUGUCACAAAGAACUUUAUAUUCCUACAGAUUGCUGUCAAAUAUUGUUACCUGUAUGGCAGGCAUGGGUAUAUUAUUCAUCAUAUUUUAGGGAUUGGUUUCAUAUUACUUGCAGUUUUGGGGAGGAAAGCUUAUAGACCCACUCAGGCAAACCUGACCAGAACAUGAGUAUCUGUGGUCUGGUGUGGAAAUAGAUCUCUAGCCCUGUCUCCCUCCUCCCAUUGUCCACCCACAUCUUCCUUACCACCAAACACAUUUUUCUCCUGUAUUGCCAAACCACUUAGGGUUCCUGUGGACGGCUCUGCUUAGUUUGCUCUUCUGCUUCUUGGAUACCUCCUUCAGGAAAUGUUCCCUGAUUUCUCCUCAUAAACCAUCUAAAAAAUACGCUUCCUGCGUCAUCUCUGCAUUGUAUGUGUGUGUUUUAUUGCCUUAUAUCACAGCAUAUCUCACUGUGUUUGUUACGGACAAGGCUACUAAAUUGGGCUCUUCAAAGGUGGGAAUGGUGACUUGUUUAUCUGCACAUCACUGGCACACAGUGAGCACUUAAGUUUAUUGCAUUGGUUCACAAUUAAAUUUACUUCCUUUUAAGUUGCGUUAUCUGUGUCAGUGUUUUCCUGAAUCACUCAUCUUGGUUUUGAACUGUCCUCACCUCUUUAUCUGCUACCAGUUGCUAGGCUAAAAACACAGCUAAAAGCACCCCAAGACAAAACUUACAUGGGAAAGACACAGUACUGGUAACACGUCAAAGAAAUAGGAAGGAAGGGGCAAAAUAUCAGUUUUUACUUGUUUGUGAAUUUCAUCCUUCAUUGGCCGAUUGGAUGGUGUGAAUUUCCUUGGUUACUAAUGUACGCUGGGGGAGAUACCCCCAAGGUUGAUUUUACUUUUCAGCUUACUUGGAAAGGAAGAACUAGUACUACAUUACCAGUGGACAUGCUUAUAUGUGCCAUAACAGAGCACAGGUGCUUCGUCACAUUUCAUUGCUGUAAUUAUCAGAUUGAGUAUUACAGAGGUAUUUUAGAGCAGCACUGUCCCUUAGAGCUUUUGGAGAAGAUAGACAUGAUUUAUAGAUCUGUGUUUAUCCAGCACGGUAGUCACUAGCCACUUACAGCUAUUGAGCACAUUAAGUGUGACUGAUGAACUGAAUUUCUUUUUUUUUUUUUUAAAACAGGGUGUUAUUCUGUCACCAAGGCUGGAGUGCAGUGAUGCGAUCUUGGCCCACUGCAACCUCUACUUCCCAGGCUCAAGCAGUCCUCUCACCUCAGCCUCCCUAGUAGUUGGGAUUACAGGCGACUGCCACCACGUCUGGCUAAUUGUAUUUUUAGUGGAGAUGGGGUUUCACCAUGUUGCCCAGUCUGGUUCCGAACUGCUGGGCUCAAGCAGUCUGUCCACCUCUGCCUCCCGGAGUGCUGGGAUUACAAGUGUGAGCCACUGUGCCUGGCCAGAAUUGAAUUUCUAAUUGAUAAAUGUAAAUAGCUGCUAGUGGCUACUGUAUUGGAUGGCACAGUUACAGAGGAUAUGUCUGUGUUUAAAACUAGGAUUUGACGGGUCAACAUUUAGGCUAAGGUAUUCUGCCUUUAAAAGUCUGCAGUCAUCUUCUAGGACUUCACACCAUACUUCCCAUUCAUAGAUUAUAAGGUGCUUAGUGGGUGAUAUUUUUGGCCUAUGUGGGGCCUUCAUAUUAUGGAGCAUUCGUGUGUUCUGUGGCUUUCCAUGUAGUACAUGUGGUCCCCCCUUUUCAGGAGCUGAGUGGAGGGAUUAUUAGUAAUUAUGAUUAUGAGUAAUUAUUUACAAAUGGAUGCGAGCCCUUGGUGUAUAAACUGAAUGAAAUUCCUGUGAAUUUGAUCAGUACUUUUUCUGAGAUGCAUUGUGAGGGGAAGGAACUGUGUGUGUUCUUGUCUUGCUGACUGUUGUUAUCAGCAAGGCCUAAUAUUCUGCUCAACACCGAUCAGUGCUCAUAUAUAUGUGUUUCACCAUAUUGUCCAGGCUGGUCUUGAACUUCUGGCCUCAGGUGAUCCGCCCACCUUGGCUUCCCAAAGUGCUGGGAUGACAGGCAUGAGCCACGGCACCCGGCCCACGAUAACUUCUUCAGAGGAAAUAAAAUCAUGCACUGAACUAUGUUAGUCAGAAAGUUUAGGUUGUAAAAUCAAAGUUUGUUUGGUAAUUGUAUAUGUUAAUGGAGUCUGAAAAAGGACUGAAAAUAUUACCUUUAGUGUGGCACGACAUUGACAAAACAACUUAAACACGACAAACAGGAAUGGAAACAUUUCUUUCUUCAGCUUCCAAAUCUCAUGUAUUCUGUGAUUUUUUUUCUAUGGUAAUCCUAGCACCCAAGUUAGAAGCUUGCCAAACAGGAUAUUUAAAAUGUAAAUAGAAACAUGUUUAAUUGUGUAGAUGACCACUACUAGGCUUUGAAAGGUAUAUGUAUUAGAGGUAUAAGAUACAUCAAACAUUUGUCUAGAAUAAGAGCCCUAAGACCAAAAACUGUAGAUUUUAUUUUAUGUAGUAGAUCCUACAUUGGGGGUUGAUGAUGUAGCUGAAUAUUUGGUUUAGUACCUUUAAGUGGCGACACACAUAUUCUGCUAUCUAUACGAGGCAUCAGACUUAACCGACUUUGUGCUACUUUGUGUGUCUGGGUUUUAGGGCUGUCUUCGUCCACAACAGCUUGUUCCUAGGAUAACUGUUGUCUUCCUAUCAUUCUGCCACUACAUGUUCCACAAAUGAAAAGUAAUUUUAUCAUACAGUAAGUCAAACACAAUUGGAAAUGCAAAUCUGUUAUCUUUUUUUUUUUAAAAAAAGUCAUAGAAUACAUUCCAAGAUAAAAUAGGAAGACUUCUCUUUUAAGCAGUUUCUAGCCCUUUACUCCUCACAUUUCAAAUAUCUUUGGUGUGAACCUUCUGGGUGGGGCAAAAAAAUAAGUAAAUAAAAGCCCCAAAACAAAAACAAAUUAUCAACCACGUAUUCCGUCAAUUCCUGCUGUUGCCCUUGAAACCAAACGAAAACACAGCCAUAACAAGACAAAACCCACCACGGCUAAUAGCAACAAAAGUUAACCCAACCAACCAAACAGAAAGAGCCUGUGAGAUUCGAGUUGUCAUUUUUGUAGAGAGGUCAAUCAUGUGAAGUCCUUUUUAUUUUAUUAAAACAUUUUUUAUUUGUCUCUUUUGAGACGGGGUCUAGAGUGCAGUGGCAUGAUCUCGGCUUCCUGCAGCUUCAGCCUCCUGGCUUCAAGCAGUCUUCCCACCUCAGCCUCCCAGGGAGCUGGGACUACAGGCAUAUUCUACCGUGCCUGGCCUUUUUUUUUUUUUGGUAGAGACAGUGUUUUGCCAUGUUGCGCAGGCUGGUUUUGAAUUCCUAGCCUCUAGUGGCCUGCCCCCUCGGCCUCCUAAAGUGUUGAUUUACAGGGAUGAGCCACUGCACUCGGCCAAGUCCUUUUUUUAAUGUAUUAAAUGUAAAUAACUUAUGACAAAAAUACUUGCCUGUAUCUGAGUAGAUAGUAAUGAUAUUAGAAUUAAUGCUACAAAAGAUCAGGAUGUCUUUUUACCUAGAAGAUCCUAUGGGGACUACUUGGAUUCAGGUAUAUAGUUUAAGAAUCACUUUGAAGGUCACUAACUUAUAAGAGUUUGAGGAUGUUACUGGCUUCACUUCUUUCUCAUCAGUGGAGUGAUUGGAUUGAACCUGUGGUUCUCCAGCUUUGGUGUGUUUCAGAAUCACUCUAAGAACACACAUUAUUGGGCCCCACCCCAGAGUUUCUAAUCAGUAGGUCUAGGGUGGGGUCACUAAUGUAUAUUUCUUAUAAGUUUUCAGGUAAUGCUAACGUUGCUGGCCAGAGGGUCAAACUUUGAGGACCAUUAGUAUAGACAAUCUCUUCUAAAGUUCUGGGAUUUAUUUCUUUAUUUUUUUGCCUGUUUCCCUCCCCACCCUUUUCAAGUUUAGCAGUUAUCACUGCUUGAUUUCUUUUUUUUUUUUCUUUUUUGAAACAGAUUCUUGCUCUGUCGCCCAGGUUGGAGUGCAGUGGCGUGAUCUCGGCUCACUGCCACCUUCACCCUUUAGGUUCAAGUGAUCCUCCUGCCUCAGUCUCCCAUGUAGCUGGGACUACAGGCAUUUUAUUAAUGCUUUUACGAGUUAGAAGAGUUGGGAUAAGGUGCCAUCUGGAGUUUCUCUGCCUUGCUGAUCUGAGCUCAGACCUGCCAAUUUACGAGAGAUGAUUGAUAACAUCCUGUAACAGCUGAGAGGAAGAUGGAAGAAACAGAGAUGACUUGGAGUGGGACAGAAUAAACCACUGAACAGGGACAUGGAUGAAUCUGGAGAACGUCAUCCUCAGCAAACUGACACAAGAACAGAAAAUGAAACACCGCAUAUUCUCACUCAUAGUGCUUUGAUUUUCCCAUUGGGAAAAAUGAGGAAGCUGUGAGUACCAGUGGAAGGAACGAGCCAGGGAGUGGACUGGAACCACCUCAGAAGCUGUGCCCCUCAGCCCGGAACCUGCCCUGUCUCCUGCCAGCUGAUGAGGUAGGAGGCUCAGCACUGGCUGCUGGGAGCAGCCCACAGCAGCAGUGAGGAUCAGUAGGCCUGUGAGUUAGGAAGGAGGUGGCCCAGAGCAAGGGUCUCUGGAUCCUGAUUGUUUGUCUUUUCCAUGACUAGGAUAAGAAACCAGGGCUUAGCUAGUUGGAGAGUUACGAAAACCUCAGGUGACAGUCGUAAGGCAGCACAUAGUGAAAAAGAGUCCUAGGCAGGGAAAGUCCAAAAUCUUGGGUCUGGUUUCAGUUCACUCACCUAUCUCUGUGACAUAGCAGUUUCUUAACUUCUCUGAUUUUCUGAUUAGUGAUACAGUUGCAGGAAUGAAAUAAAAAUGGUUCUGAUUACUCAAAGAUUCAUUUACUGAUUACUCUUCUUGUGAUCUGAAUGAAGAAUGCAACAUCUCUCAAAGGGUAACUAUUUAAUAUUUCAGGAAAUGAGAGAAGUUAAGAGACUUUGCUGUAUUACACAGAUAAUUGACAGACAGCUGAGACCAGACCCAAGAUUCAUUCAUAGAAUGAGGGAGUUGAGAAGUACAUACUCUGAGAUUAAUCCUAAAUAAACUAAAGUCUAGGCAAGUGGCUGAGCUAGGUUUGCCAUGAAUCAGUCUGCUGGGUAUAUUUCUUGGUAACUAGUUCAUCUUUCCUUAAUUCAGUCAACAAAUAGGAUAUCAAGUUUAGUACGAUGAUGGCGGAUGUCAUGUAAUACCCCAUCUAGAAGGUUGUGUGCUUCUUGCCUUCCAUAACUUUUCUUAAUCUACCUUAAGCUUCCCUUCUGAAAGGUUUCUGUCUUUCCUAUCAGUCUCUUCUUUCCCCCCGAUACCUCUUGUGUUUAAGAAUUAAAGGAAGAUGAGCUAAGAAUAAAGAAAUACCUACAACUGAUUCCGGUUACUGGCCCCACCCUGCCACUUGCCCAGAGUCAUGGUAUAAAUUUUUUUAAUAGGCUGAAAUAAAAAUAUGAAUAGUAUUUUGGUAUUAAGCAUUAAAUUGAUAAAAGUAAAGGCUAUGAGAUAUACCUGCUCCUCAACCAUGUUAAUUUUUUAUUGGUAUUAAUAAGUGAUUGCUUAUUAAUAACAGGAAUUGUAUUGAGAAACAAAGUAGCCACGGGCCAAAUCUUUUGAAUUUCAAAUGUUAGUAUAUUCUAUUCUAGAAAAGUAGAAUAUGUCUUAAAUAGCUUUGUAAUAUGAAGUCAUCGGUCAGUCAGCCCCUUACACCUAUUAGAAUGUUUUAACCUUUAUCUCCCACGUUUUUGUUUCUAAACUGAGUGUACUUGGUCUGAUAUUUGUGGCAUAACUUACGGAACACAUAAGAAUAAUUCAGAUACUAUUUAAUGACCUGGUACAAGCUUUGAUACCUGAAGUGAAGGUUUCUGUGGCCUUAACAUUUUCCCCUUGAAGAAUGUAUUUGCUGUAAUAAAAUACAGUAUCUACUUGAAAUCUAUAAACUUAUGUGGGGUGUGGAUAAAUCUGAGCAGCUUUCUUCUUUGUGCCCCAGGAGCCCAUGUGCUGUCUAUAUAAAUAAAGCUUAGGUAAACAUGGUUGCAACCCGUGUUUUGUUUGAUUAUAUUAGUAUUACCUGAUCUUCAAAUAAUGAUGAAAAAUAGCCCUUAACCUAAACCAUGAACGGAUAUAAACUUCAGGGAAACAGUUUCUUGGAUAAACUUAAAUUCUCACCGUGCAUUACUCUGAUCUUAUAAUAUUUUUUAAAGCAGUCCUGGGGAUUUAUUUUUAAGGCAUCCAAAUGAAUUAUUAGUUCUCAAAAGCCAUAAUAUAUUCAUGGGUCAAUAUAUCCCCCAAACACUAUUUUUUAACUGCUCAGUUUAUUUUUCUUAGCAUGCUCGUCUGCUGCGUAAUUUUCUUUGCUGUGGGUCACAUGAUUCCUCCCGUCCACAACUCACGCACUUAAAAUUCUCACUUCCUGAUUGAGCCAUAAGAUUACGUAAAAUGUAAAUCAGGCUGAAUACCUAAGAGCAGGAAUUUUAAGGGGAAAAUGCCGUGUUCUUUUUCUGUUGUAUUAUUAACCCUUAAAUAUCGGAGUGAGUGUCUGCUCCUCUGUUUGUAUUUGGAAACGAGAGACUGUUAGGGGUUUUUCUUGGCCCUUCCCUUUCAGAUUGAAUCAGGCUUUGCUGCUUUCAUUAUAAAAAAUAAUGUACUAACUAGAUAGACGGUGGGAGUGGGAUCGUUGCAGGAAUGAAACCAAAAGGGUUCCAGUUACUGAGAGAGUCGUUCAUGUAUUAACUCUUUUCAUGAUCUGAAUGAAGAGCACAGCAUCUGUCAAAAGGUAAUAAUCUGAUAUUUCAGAAUUGGAAGUGGCCAUUUAGCCUUUCUGCUGCCUGAUAUAAAUGAAAGUAAUUUCUAGCAGGCAGGAUGACGCUUGUUUUACUCGAAUCUUACAAUCCAGCACAUUUUCUCAGAGCAGUUUUGAAGCUGUCAUAGUAACAGCGUGACAUUCGGAGGGUCUUUUUAGUAGUUCUUUAGCUAGAGUUAGUUACUUGUAUUAACUCUGGAUGUUUUUCCUUUUACUCCUCUUUGACAGACAAGGGCUAUAAUUGCUCAAAUAUGUAUUUUGUGUUCUAUAUUUUUUGGUGACUGUGGUUUAAGGACGUGAUGUUUUGUAAGUGGUUUCAGUAAAGGUUAUCAAUUGAUUUCAGACACGUUAAACUUGGGUUUUUAAUUUCUCUGUAAAAUUGCACUAUCGUUAUAGGACCAAGAUUUAGUUUUAUUUAAGAAGUGAAUUUUGAGAGAUGUUCCCACAAAUGCAAUUGUCAUUUGCUUCCAGUGGUUGCAACUGUCCUUUGCUUUGAUCUUGAUGUAUUUAGAAAAAGAACAGGAAUGCAGAAGGGAAACAUGUCAGGCUUACAGGAGAAAACUGUUUCUUAAAAUGCAACAGGCAGGCACAACACCAAAAGCACGUUCCAUAAAAGAAAACAAGCACAUUUGACUUUGUGAAACUUAAGAAUACAGUGCUGUUUGAAACUCUAAAGUACACUUUAAUACAUUCUCCGCUAGGAAGAUUUGUGGGAAUUUUUUAUUGGUGGAAAGUAGGUUGGAAACUCCUAUUCUUAAUAUUAAAACUCCGUGGCAGAAAUUCUUGCCAAUACAGCGGUCAGUGAGAAAGGAGGCCCGUUUCUUGGACAGGGAAGAGGAUCAGAAGAAAGAAUGGUCUGCACUAGGUCCAGACGGUAGGACCUAAAAAGUAUUAGAUAUACAAUGCUUUUGUUUUCUUGUAAAAGCGAACAGAGAGAUGUGACACUUGUAAAGAUCUUGUGCGUUUUGUGGGUUUCAUGCUAAGGCCACUGUCCUUACUGUUGUGUGAGUAUUUGUUCAGCUAUGGGCGAUUCAAGGGAGUUGGGGUAGCAGGGUGUGCAGCCAGCAGCAGGCAAGGUGCUAAUGCAUCCCCGGUGAUGUCAGGAGUUACGAGACAGCGGUUUCAAAACACUGCAGUAAACAAGGUCAAAGUGUCCCGUUUCGCUGGAAGAAGGUUUGUUUUUAUGAGCUGGACAGUACAUGGAUGAAGUAAUUUUUCAAAACAAACUUUAAAUUUAUACGUGUUUUUUUUCUUCUUCUUCUUUGGAUUUAAAAAAAAAAAUUGGCCAGUUGAGAUUAAAUAAUGGUUCCGUUUUUAAGCAGAAUUAUAUUUCAUAUAUUUUCCCAGUCUUGUAUUGAUUUUGUUUUUCACGGAAGACAUGAAAAUAACUUCUGAUUUAGGGAUUCUUACAUGCAGUUGUAGAGAGCAAGACAGGACCCAGUACUUUGAAAACACGGCAAGUGCAAGUCACCAUCCUUAGUAAACUAUUCCCUCUCAUUUUGUGCCUUUGACUCUUAUUUAGACAGACGUUUAAGUAUGAGAAAGCUAAUGGCGCAGAUUUCUGCUGACUGUGUGGCUCUCAUCUUAAUGCAUUUUCCAACCUUGAACCUGAGAAUGCCAGAGAGUUGAGUCUCUGGACAUCCAUCUGAGCAGAUAUCUGCUGGCCGCCUGGUUCCUGAGCUAACAAGUGGGUGUCCCAGGCUUGUGUGUGUAGUCACAACAGUGGAGGUGCCACGUGGCACCCAGAGGUCAACUGAGGCUACCGCGGGGCUUCCCGAUCUCAGAAGUGUGUCUUCAGUGUCUGAGAUGGACUGGGAACAUGGUGCAUCUUGAGAAGUGCAGACAUUUGUAGUUCCACGGGAAACCUGGAUGUAAGCACUCACACAGCUUUUAAAGUGAAAGCAGGGACCUUGAGGAAGGAAUUGCCGUCAUCUCAUUCCCGACCUGCUUACUAUGCUGGGAAACAAAGUAAGUUCUGUUUGUUUCUUUGUUAGUCUCUCCUGCGUGUUUUUUCUUGCUAACAUUAUUAGACACUCAAUAUCUGGCAAAUGCCAAGUUUUUCCCCUUCAUUGGGAAGUAGGAUAUAGUUUGUUCAGGAGCUGAUUACUGCUUUUAUCUUUUCUCUCUUCCCAUAUCUAGCGUGCAGCUUGCUGUUUAGAGAUAGUAAGAGAUUGAAAUUUAUUAUCAUGGAGAAAACAAAAUGUGUUUCGCUUUGUUUCUAAAUGGCCCAAGAUCUUUGCCAUUAGGUAAAUGAGUGACUCAGAUAAGGCGUUUUGCAUGGUGUGACCAGGAGUACCUCCAGGAAAACCACCCCAGUUCACCACCCUGAUUUCCAUUUGGAAGCAGGCAAAGCGGGUGUCCUCCAGACAAGUGUGAAGGCAGAGGGUCCUUGCGCAGGAACCGUGCAGAAACUAGGUGGGAAGGGUCACAGACAAGAGGCUGCAAUUUAAAAACGCAUCAGUAAAUGGCAAAGAGCUGUGAGAAUAUAAAUUAUUUAGUGGUGUUGAUACAGAUUUAAUAUAAAAAUGAGAUAAAAUAGAGCCCUAACCCCGUUAACAGCAACAAAACUUUGCUUUCAUGUUAGAGAGUUUUGCACCAUGUAGAUUUACGGAACAUGUGCUUAAUUGCCUCUAGAAAAUAAUGAAGAGGCUUCAUCACCUUCGUAGGAGAUUCUGUGACAUUAGCCUAAUUCCGACAUGUGGCCCCUGCUUUCCAUUUUGCUUGUUUGUUUUUUAUGUUGAUCCUCUCUCCAGAGACGUAAUGUGGAUGGAUUAACUUUUAAUACAAAGUUCUGUGGCUCUUGAAAAUGCAGAACAAAUAGAGAUGAAGAGUGGUUUGUGAUUUGUUGUUAAAUGGUCUUUCCUUCUAAAUCUAGGACUGAUUUUUACUGUAGAAUAUUCUUUUCUUUUUUUGGUGGCGGGAGAGGGGGGUCAACCUGAAGAGCAACACCUUGAAGGUAAAAGGUAGGAGCAUGACUGGAGUGUGGAACUGGAAAGCAGAAACUUCUAGAUCUAGUAUGGAAUGUUGUGAAUUUGAGUUAGCUUCUGUGUCCUGCGAAUUCACAUUUUAUCUCAAAGUGGUGCUGAUAGGACUGGAGGUGGCUGUAUUUUAUUUGAAACAUUCCAGAGCCUUUAUAGGAAUAUCUGUUAAUUAUUAAUUCCGCAAACAUCUCUAAGUAUCUCCUCUAUGUCCAGUGUUGCAGUCAGAGCUAUAAUUGUUUCACCAUUACAUUUACAGAAAUUCAGUUUGUAAAUGAAAAAUUAAGAACAGUUUGAAAGAAAGGCAAAUGAGCAGAGGAUUACCAUCGAAACCGUCUUGUUAAAGAUAAUGCCAAGUAAGCAGGACUGUCCUCUUCUGAGCUGCCCCUCCUAAUUAAAGGGAAAGGUGGCUGCCAUCUGUCUUCUUUCAUUCAAGGCAGUAGGGGGUCUAGGGUGGAAGGAAGCAACCCCCCCCUUUAUUUUUCUCCCACUCUUUUUUAUAGUCAGCUUUCUCCUUAGUCAGUGACCCAGAAGGUCAUUGAUGAUCUGUCUAUCUCAGAGUGAAGAGUAACAUAAGCACGCUUGGCACUUGCAGAAAAAAAAAAAGUUUAUAACAUGCAUUGAUCCAUUUAAAGUUCUGCUUGAAUUAUGUCUGAGAGUAUUGUAAUCUCCGUGUUGGUGUCUCUGCCCUGUUUGUUACCGAGGGCACUACUGGCAGGAAACAUGGGAGUUUUACUUUUAUUGAUUUUGCUUUUUCACGAAAAAAUGUUGACACUCCACUGGGCAUAAUCAGAAGAUGGCAGCAUGUGGCUAUGUACAGGAGACGUGGGGACGUUCAGGAAUAUUAUUCUUAUAAAAAUCAAGGACACGUGUUAAUUAUACAUACAUGUCAUCUCAGGAGAAAACAUGAACAAGGGUGGCAACAGGUGUCCAAGUUACUCAGUGGCCUGCUGCAGCCUCUUGGACCAAUAAUUGAAAUAAUUCACAUUGUUUAUCUUUCAUUAAGCAAUAAGUCUUUUAGCCCUUUUCUUGUAAGAAUAUGUUGCCGGAGAAUUUAGUUAGUUUGGGGUCAUGUCAUAAUUGCUUGGGAAAUGUAGAAUAGUCCUUCAACAGAAUGAUUGCAUUUUCUUGCCUCAGUUUCCCUCUCUGUAAAUAGAAAAAAAUACAUGCUGCUUUUAUAAAUAUUUAAAAGAAUAUGAAAUAAUAUUUUGUCUUUUGUGAGAACUAUAUUAUGACUGAAAAAUUCUGAAAUCUUCAGUUAUUUUUAUUUUCAACUUUUAUAUGCUUAAGCAAGGUGUUAACAGUCUUCUAAAGAGAUUCAGUUGUCACAAACCCGGUUUAGCUCCCAAGUAGCAGAUAUGGACUUCUCAGAAUGUACUGGUUUUUAGAACUCUCUUUGUGACACAGAAGUGUGGUAUUUCUUAAACCCAUAACAAUACAUCUGGAGAGCUCAAAUAUGAGAGUCAUGUCUGUAAUUUCAUUUAGAGCUUCCCCCCCCCCCCCAAAUUUGUCACCAACUUGCAGCAAGCUUUCUUGGGAACGUAGAUGUGUUUAUGUUGCUGAGUCUUGAGAUGAACACGUGUAGGCUUCUGAAGACACUGGUGCCUGGUUUGUAUGAUUGGAUGAUAACCUGAAAAUGGGUCACUUCCUAGUCAGUGAAGGGUACACAGGGCUGAACAGGCAGGGCUUCUUUGCUUUUUCCAUGUUUUUGUUUUCGGGGUGUGUGUGUGUGUGUGUGUGUGUGUGUGUGUGUGUGCGCGCGCACGCUAAUUUUAGAUACUCAGCUGGGUACUUAACUGGCUAUCCUUUGUAGCAUGUGAUUUAAAUUAAUUUGGUUUUACCCAUCAGUAUUUAUUUCAAGGGGACUAAAGAAACACAUUAAAUGUAUUUCAAGAAGGAGAUGUGAAAGAGAAGAGGGAAAAAAAAGACACAUUAAAUGAAUCACUUAAGAACUUUCUAUCUUCUUUUGACCAUCCACAGUGGUGGGAAAUCUCUGUCCUUUGAGGGUAGGAGGGUGCCAGUAGUUAGCUCUCAUGAAUAUGGCAGGUGAUCAAACCACUGAUUUGAGUCAUUGCUUUAUGUUAUAAACAUGUACUGAGCCAGCUACUACAUUUCAGUAGAAAGUACUGUGGAUUCAAAAGUGAACAGCUCAUGGGGUCUGGCAUUUCAGAAAGACACAGGUUAGUGAGUUAAAUGACUAGAUAAAGAGGUAGCACUGUAGACUACUGUACUGUAUCACAGGUACACGUGUGUUUUUAGAGCCCAGAAGGGGUCAAAAUAAAAUUUUAGGCGGGGCACAGAGGCUUAUAUCUGUAAUCCCAGCACUCUAGGAAGCUGAGGCGGGAGGAUCACUUGAGGCCAGGAGUUCGAGACCGAGACCAGCCUGGGCAACAUAGUAAGACCCCCAUCUCUACAAAAAUGAAGUAAAAUAAAUAAGACACACCUGGUGGCAUGCAUCUAUAGUCCUAGCUACUUGGGAGGCUGAGCCGGGAAGAUCACUUGAGCCCUGGAGUUGAAGGCUGCAGUGAGCUAUGAUCACACCACUGCACUCUAGCCUGAGCGACGGAAUAAGAUCCCGUUUCUGGAAAAAUGGAUGAGCGAAUUAAUUAAAUUUCAAAAUAGAGAUUUAAUGGAAAAAUGAGAAUUGUUAUGUACAUGAUUUAUGAAGUGGCUUACAUAAUAGAAUUUUGGAAAUGAAAGCCCUGAAAAAUAGCUUCUUAUUUUAAGGAUGAACAGACUGGGAUUUAUUUCUGAAAUUCUAUAAUUCCCAGUCAGUCGUAAGGCUUUCAUUAUAUAAUAGACUUUUUUCUUUUUAACCAAUGGUAUAUAAUAGACUUUUUUUUAACCAACAGAAGUUGGACCUCUUCAAAAUGUGGGGUCCAAAAGAUUUUGGACAUUGUUUGAAUAACUCCCUUCUCCAAAGGAGACUUUUUAAAAAAUGAUUCUUUCUGAUGUAUUAAAAUUGAUUAUUUUUGUCACCCUGAAUGCACCAAAGCAUUAUAUGUCAUGUUUAUUGCCAAGAGUAGCUAUAUAGCUUGUGGGAGACAGUUAACUUGAAGCCCUCUUGCAUCUGGAAGUAUGGGGAGAGAGAAGGCUCUUCACAUCCCCUUUCAUGUUAUAGUCUUUUUUUUUUAGAAAGAGAAAGGGAGAGAGAGAACAGGAGUCUUGCUCUAUUGCCCAGGCUGGAAUGCAAUCUAAAAAUAGGUAUUAAAAACCUCUUUCAUGCCGAUAAUUGUGCUUAACAGUGGCGACAGGAAGGAAUAAGGAAGGAAAAUAACAAACAGCCAACCAAUAUUUCAUUUUAGUCUGUGAAAUGCUAUGCAAAUACUAAAGAGUGAUUUACUUCCAAUUAUGUGGUCACUUUCAAAAUAGGUGUAAUGUGAUACUGAGAAAAAUGUACGUUCUGUGGACCUGGGGUGAAGAAUUUAUAAAUAUUCACUGAGUUUACUUGUUCCAGGUCUGAGUUCAAAUCAUAGAUGUCCCUGUUAAUUUUCUAUCUCGUUGAUCCAUCGAAUAUUAACAAUGUGGUGUCAGUGUCUCCCGCUAUUAUUGUGUGGGAGUCCACGUCUCUUUAUAAGUCAUUAAGAACUUGUCUUAUGUAUCUGGGUGUUCCUAUAUUGGGUACAUAUAUAUUUAUGAUCAUUGACUCCUGUUGUUGCAUUGAUCCUUUUACCAUUCUGUAACGUCCUUCUUUGUUUCUUUUAGUCUUUGUUACUAUUAAAGUCUAUUUUGUCAAAGACGAAAGUUACAACUCCUGUUAGUUUUUUUUUUUUUUUGCUCUCCAUUUGAUUGAUAAGUCUUCCAACAACGCUUUGUUUUGAGUCUUUGUGUGUCCUUGCUUAUGAGAUGGAUCUGGAUACAGCGUACCAAUGGGAACGUCAAGUUUUAUUCAAUUUGCCUGUCUGUGUCUUUGACUGGGGCAUUUAAUCCAUUUAAAUUUAGGAUUAAUAUUGAUAUUCAUGAGUUUAAUAUUGUCAUUUAAUGCUAGCUGGCUAUUUUGCCCAUUAGUUGACAUAGAUUCUUCAUUAUGGAGAUACUCUUUACCUUUUGGUAAUUUUUUGGGAUGACUGAUACUGGUUGUGCCUUUCUGUGUAUAGUGCUUCUUUCAGAAGCUCUUGUAAAGCAGGUCUGGUGGUGAUGAAAUCUCUGAGUACUUGCUUGUUCAUGAAAAAUUUUAUUUUUCUUUCAUUUAUGAAACUUAGUUUGGCUGGAUAUGAGAUGCUGGGUUGAAAAUUCUUUUCUUUGAGGAUGUUGAAUAUUGACCCCCACUCUCUUCUAGUUUGUAGGGUUUCUGCUGAAAGAUCUGCUGUGAGUCUGAUAGGCUUCCCUUUAUGGGUAACCUGACCUUUCUAGCUGCCCUUAGAAUUUUCUCCUUUAUUUCAACCCUGGUGAAUCUAACGAUUAUGUGUCUUGGGGUUGCUCUACUUGAGGAAUAUCUUUGUGGUGUUCUCUGUAUUACCAGGAGUUGAGUAUUGUCCUAUGUUACUAGGUUAGGAAAGUUUUCCUGAAUAAUAUCCUGAAGAAUAUUUUCCAGCUUGGAUUCAUUCUCUUCAUGACAUUCAGGUACACCUAUCAAAUGUAAAUUAGGUCUAUUCACAUAGUCCCAUAUUUCUUGGAGACUUUUCACAUUCCUUUUACUCUUUCUUCUCUAAUCUUGUCUUUUCCUUUCAUUUCAUUUCAUUAAGUUGGUCUUUGACCUCUGAUACCCUUUCUUCUGCUUGAUCAAUUCGACUGUUAAAACCUGUGCAUACUUUGUGGAGUUCUCAUAUUGUAUUCUUCAGUUCCAUUAAUUCACUUAUAUUCCUCUCUAAAUUGUCUAUUCUCAUUAGGAUUUCAUCAAACCUUUUUUCAAGGUUCUUAGUUUCUUUACAUUGGGCUAGAACAUGUUCUUUUAACUCACAGAAGUUUCUUAUUCUCCACCUUCUGAAGCCUAAUUCUGUUAAUGGAACACACUCAUUCUCCACCAGGCCUUGUUCCCUUGUUGAUGAGGAACUGUGAUCCCCUGUAGAGGGAGAGGCAUUCUGAUUUUGAGUAUUCUGAGCCUUUUUAUGCUGGUUUCUUCCCAUCAUUGUAAAUUUAUCCACCUGUUGUCUUUGUAAUUACCGACUUUCAAAUUAGGUCUCUGAGUGGACGUCCAACUUGUUGAUUCCCAGCACUGGAAUCUGAGCAACCCACUGUGCCGGCUAAAUCAGCGGUGUUAAGAUUCGUGGUGCUUUUCUGCCCGGGAAUCUCCGGUCUGGCUUCCCUCCUGAAUCACUUCUUCAAUCAGCUGAAUGGGCGACUCUGCCUUCGCGGAGCCCCAAAUGUCGACCAAAAGGGGACCUAGUCCCAUUUACUCUGCACCAAGAACCGCUGCGCCAGCCACAAGAGUCACUCUGGUGACCUGUGGGGCUUCUCCGCUGGGAAUCUCCUGGUCCGUGAGCAGCAAAAAUUCAUCUGAAAGUUUGGCAUCCUCUCGUUCUCUGCACUUUCACUGGGAGCUACAAUCCUGAGCUUCUAGUAAUCGACCAUCUUGGAUCUCUCUCUCAUGUUAUAUUCUAAAGGGAAGGGAUUUCCAUCCUAGAUACUAGAUGACUCUACUGUGGAUAAUUUCACUUACCAAUGAUAUAUGGGUGUUGCCCUGUGCCAGGAACUAUGCUAGGAGCUGAUGCCAACGCUCAGCUGAUGGGCUACAGACAUGAAGGCCUGUGCUCCUCAGUGGCGCUCUGUAGGUAGAUACAGAGCCACCAUCUACUGGGGGCUUCUCCUGAGUGUAACAGUGUGGGCGGGGACACGAUGCUACCCUCGAAGAGCUUGAAGCUAAGAUUCUGUGCACAGAUAAAUUUAGAAUAAAUGCAGAGAUGCUAAAACAAGAUGUCUUAGAAAAAAGAAAAACAGAAGAAAUGCAGAGGGAAAGAGAAAUGUAUAAAAGGUAGAUAGACACAACACAAGUUUAUAGGAAAGAAAGGUUAUCUGUGGCUGGGAUGAUCAGGAAAUGCUUUAUGGAUAAAGAAAGGUAAUGUUGGGCUUGAGGACUUGGAGAGAGAGUGUUUUCGUCCAAGGAACAUGAGCAAAGGCAUGGGUAGCGAUGGGAAAUGCCAGGGUAGGAGUAGCAAUGGGAAAUGCCAGGGUAGGAGUGAGCGGGAAUCGGAGUGGCCGGGAAUCGAUUUGUAGUUGCUGGGCAAUGGUGUGUGUAAAUGACCAAGGAGAAGAUCAGAUAGCAAAGGUCCUUGGAGGCCAGAACCCAGAGGGCCUUGCGUUGCACGUGACUAAAGGAUUUAAACGUAAGUUAUUGGGGAACAGUGGAAGAAUUUGAGUGGCAAGAGUCCCUGUCCUGAAGAGGCCUUGUUGGGGAUCAGCACGUGGGUGGCUCUGGACUGUGAAAUAGCCAGAGCUGGGAAAGCCUCUUAGAGGUGCUGUGAUGGUCCAGGAAGGAGGUGGGGAGGGCCUAGGUGAGGGGAAGGCCACGGGAUGUAGAAAAUGAAUUUAUGAGAUGGGAUUUAGGAACUGCCUGGAUAAUAGGGGUUGCCUGAUGGGAAGCAAAAUGCCCCCAGACUUUUGAACCCAGGUGCCAUUCAUUAUUUCUGUGCCACCUACAAGGCAUUAUUCAGCUAUUAGCUCAUUUAAUCAUCUCCUAAUCCUGUGGGUUGGUAUUUUCAUCCUCAUUCCAGAGAUGAGAAAACUAAGGCUCCGAGGAAGUUAGCAAUUGGUCUAAAAUUAUACCGUUAAUGGGAUCUAGAACGGGGACUUCAGUGCAGGCAUCCCUGACUCCCAAACCUGUGUUCCUUCUACUGCGCUAAGCUUAGAAGACAGCAGACGUGAGAGUGAAGAUGAGCUCGGUCCACGCUGUGCGUGUUCAGUGUCGGUGCUGGUGAGAUUCCCACCUGGAGCUGUCCGUCAAGUGUCUGGAGACACAAAGCCGAAUCUCAUGGACAUUGGGAGGAUUGAAGGUCAAGGUUUAAGAACCAUCUGCAUCCUUGUUUGUUUAUUCAGCAGCUAUUUGUUGUGUCUUCAGGGACCAGCUUGGCAGCAUGUCAGGUCAGGGAAGUUUAAGCUGUCUUGAGGGAGAUGUGGUUCUUAACAUGAGACUCUAAUGAUGAAGACCCAGAUAAAAUGUGGGACAGUGGUAUAUCCCAGGAUGGAAAUCGCGCGUACUCGGCAGAGCAAGAGAGGAACACAGUGUCUUUAAACCGAAAACCACAUGUGGCUAGAAUGGAGGGAACGGUUGCCAGGAAGUCAGGCUAGAGAGGUGAGCCGGAACCAGAACAAGAAAUGCCUUGGAAGCGAUGUGAGGCUUGGAAUUCACCUGUGAAGAAAAUAGUAGCCUUUUCUGAAUUCCUUGCCUCGAUCAUUGUCUCCAACAGAAAGUUAAAUGGCUGUGGAGUCUAGAGGUUUUUUCCUUCAGUGUGGGUAUCACCUGUUCUGAAAGGAUGGUACAAUGGCUAAUGGUAUCAGCUUGGCGAGGCCACAGUACCCAGAUGCUUGGUCAGGCAUCAGUCUAGAUGUCACUGUGCAGGUAUUUUUUUAGAUGGGGUUAACAUUUAUAUCAGUAGACUUUGAGUGAAGCAGAUUAUCCUUUAUAGGCCUCAUAUGUAAUCAGUUGAAGGCCUUAAGAGAAAAAGACUGAAAGAAGAAAAAGUCCCUAAAGAAAAAGGAAUUCUGUCUCUGGACUCCCUUCAGACUCAAGACUGCAACACUGGCCUGGCACCCUGGCUCACACCUGUAAUCGUAGCACUUUGGGAGGCAGAAAUGAGUGGAUCACUUGAGAUCAGGAGUUCAAGGCCAGCCUGGCCAACACGGUAAAAACCCAUCUCUACUAAAAAUCAUAAAAAUUAGCUGGGUGUGGUGGCACAUACCUGUGAUUCCAGCUAUUUGGGAGGCAGACAGGCAUGAGAAUCACUUGAAACCAUGAGGCAGAGGUGGCAGUGAGCCGAGAUCAUGCCACUGCACUGUGGCCUGGACAACAGAGUGAGACUCCACCUCAGGGGAAAAAAAGCUGCAACAUCAACUCUUCCCUGGGUCAUCAGCAUGCCCUGAAGAUUGCAGAUUUGUCAGUCCCUGUAAUUGCAUGAGCCAGUUCCUUAAGGUAAAUCUCAGGAUCUAACCACCCUCCAACCGCCCCCCACACCAUCUCUUUCUGUUUCUCAUUCACACAUAGACUCUCUCUCUCUCUCUCUCUCUCUCUCUCUCUCUCUCUCUCUCACUCUCUCUCUCUCUCUCUCUCUCUCUCUCUCUCCACCCCCCAAUGAUUCUGUUUCUCUGGAGAACCCUGACUAAUGCAAAUAGGAAGAUAAAGAAAUUUAAACUGUUUGGCUCCCGUUGGUAUUAGCAGAAAGCUGCAUCAGGCCUCUCUAGGAGUGCUCGGUGUAUGUGUGUAUUGCUUUUUGUAUAGGUGAGAAUAGUGAGUUGUAGAAGGGAUGUGAUGCACCCACAGUCAUGCAGAAAGUGGGUGGGAGAGCCGAGGAGAAGACUCGGGUUUCAAACCUCUGAUAUUGUUCAUUUGCUUUCUCGCUAUUUGGCCCUCAUGUUUUCUUAGCAACGUAAUAAAGUUACUGAGUUUGCCAUGCGUAAUUAUUGGUAAUGUUUAUGGAAUGUUCUCUGUAUGUCAGGUACUGUUUUAGUUGCCUUACGAGUAUUAGUGAUUUUAAUCCUUACAACUACCUAAUGAGAUAGGGAAUCAUAUUAUCCCAUUUUACAGAUUGAAAGCAAUGAGUCCAGUGAGCGAUGUGGCGUUGCUGCACAGCCAGUGAGUGAUAGAGCUGGGCUGAGGACCCAGGCAGCCUGGCUGCAGAGGUCGUGCUGUUUGUGACUCCACCGCCUCUCAGCUUAGGAUGCCCCGAGCACAGCUUUUCAUCUCUCCCUUUGGAGUCGUUGUCCAGAAUAUUUAUGAUGGUAGUGUGCUCUUGGUAGGGCUUGUGUUAAAAGAGAAAAUGCGUAGAAGUUAUUUUUCAAGAGGCCAUCCAAUAAUGCUUCUUACCUCCUGGAAAAACAGAAAACAUUCCCAUUACAGCAGCAUUGCAGACCUCCUGCUGGGGUGUAUUUUUAACGACUAGACUUUCCUGCCUAGCCUAGUGACACUGGUGAGCGUCUGAUUUGUCCCGGGUCUUACAGGAGUGUGAUAAAGUCGUGAUGAGAGUUGGCUCCCGGUUCAGCAUUUGGGGAUGUGUUCUCGGGGGGAAAAUAGCAAACCUCGUCGUGUGUGUCCCUUGGUUCUUUGAGAGAACCGUUAUCCUGCCAUUUAUUAGGUCUGUUGUGUGCUGGAUGCUGUUUUGAGUGCUUUAUAAACAUUGUUUCAUGGAGUCUUCUCAACAUUCCAGAAAGGCUGGCAUUACCGUCCCAUUUUACAUGUAAAGUAACCAGUUAAGCAGUUAAGUCACAUUUCCAAAGUAAGUAGCAGAAUCAAGGAUUAAACCGCAUAUGAAUGACUCCAAGCCAGUGCUCUUGGUCACUGGCUGUGUCUAUACUGGGUAUUGCCCUGAAGCUCACUAUUCUUCCCCAUAGACUAUGAACUUCAUGAGGGCAGGGAUUUUUUCACUGAUUCACCACCAUACUUCAGCACCUGCCAAGUACAGUUCCUGACACAUAGUAGGUGCUUAAUGCAUAUACAUUGUGUGUCACUUAACAAGGGGGAUAGGCAGUUUUUUCAUUGUGUGAACAUCAUAGGGUAUAUAUACACGAACCUAGAUGGUAUAGCCUACUACAUACUUAGGCAAUAAGAUAGGCCCCUGUUGCUCCUAAGCCACAAACCUGUACAGCAUACAACUGUACUGAAAACACUGUAACACAAUGGUUAGUGCUUGUGUAUCUAAACAUAGAGAAAGUAGAAUCUUGCAGUGUGUUACAAUGGCUACAGUGUCACUAGGUAAUAGGAAUUUUUCAGUUUCAUUGUAAUCUUCGGAGACCACCAUCACGGAUGUGGUACCUCAUUGAUGGAAACGUUAUGCUGCACCCAACUGUAUAUUGAGCAACUAACAAACUCUGUUCUCUGUGAUUGCUUCCAAAUGGCUGUACGGCCAGGGCCAAAGAGCAUAGACCUGUGAGUGCAUCAUGGACUCAGGUGGGUUUAGCCCUCAAGCUGUGAUUCCAGGGCAUGUUAACUAGUGGUGGAGUCUCAUUCCGUCACCCAGGCUGGAGUGCAGUGGCACAGUCUUGGCUUACUGCAGCCUCUGCCUCCCCGGUUCAAGCGAUUCUGCCUCAGCCUCCCAGGUAGCUAGGACUACAGGUGCACGCUACCAUGCCUGGCUAUUCUUUGUAUUUUUAGUAGAGAUGGGGUUUCACCAUGUUGGCUGGUCUCGAACUCCUGACCUCAAGUGAUCUGCCUGCCUCAGCCUCCUAUAGAGCUGAGAUUACAGGCACUGCCGCUCGUUACACAUACACCUACCUUAGUUUGUCACCUAUUUCGUAAACAUACCUUCUUUAAAAAAAGAAAGAAAUGACAAUACAUAGAAGACUGCUUUGUAAACUGAAACUAUAUUAUUUAUAUUUGUAGCAUUUUUUUCCCCUUGAGGUUAAUUUCCUUUGUUUCUCAUAACUGGAAACCAAUAAUUCAGUGCCAUUAUAUUAUAUAAGCUUAUUUUUCCUCUUAGAAAUACUAAAUUGUAAGAGGUUUGACCGAAAAAUAUAAAUCAAAAUUAGGCAGUAUUCAGUGUGUAGCCUCCAUCUGUCUUGUUGUCUUUAGUUGUGCAAGUAGAUGAUGAUGAUUUCUGGCAGAGCUAAAGUAAAUAAUGUGAAUUUUUUUCCUCAUAAAACAGAUGGCAUGGUCUAGAAGACUAGCCUCUGGGCUUGUAUGUUUCAUGAAGUAGAUGGGUCUGAGUCCAUGUUUAUUUUGUGAGCCAAGGUUUAUGCCCUCUUUUAUAAUUUUCUUUCACCAAAAAUUACCUGGAUAGCUAGAAAGUCUGUUGUUUUCAGUGUAAGAAGCCUUAGAAUCUAUAUCCAGACCAAGGAGGUAGAUCCACUCAGCAAAGACUCAUCGGCAGCCUUCUUUGUGCUAGACUGUCACCUUUGCUUGGCUUUGAGAAGCUUCAGAGUAGGGCAGUUUAUGUUUGGGAAUGACCAGUCAAAAUAGCAAGAUAGACAUAGGCAAGAAUGUAAUUUUAAAAAUUUAAGUGGGGAAUGGUGGAGCAUGAAUCAAAACAGAAGAUAGUCCUCCCUUGUUAGAACUACAUAUACCAUGGAAUACUAUGCAGCCAUAAAAAAGGAUGAGUUCAUGUCCUUUGCAGGGACAUGGAUGAAGCUGGAAACCAUCUUUCUCAGCAAACUGACACAAGAACAGAAAAUCAAACACUGCAUGUUCUUACUCAUAACUGAGUGUUGAACAAUGAGAACACAUGGACACAGGGAGGGGAACAUCACACCUGCGGCCUGUCAGCGGGUAGGGGGCUGGGGCUGGGAUAGCAGUGGGUGGGAGACUAGGGGAGGGAUAGCAUUAGGAGAAAUACCUAAUGUAGAUGACAGGGUGAUGGAUGCAGCAAACCACCAUGGCAUGUGUACACCUAUGUAACAGGCCUGUGUGCUCUGCACAUGUACCCCAGAACUUAAAGCAUAAUAAUAAUAAGGAAAAAAUAAAUACAUUUGAAAAAGGCAGGCUCUGUCAAUCUUCUGAGAGAAUUUUUGCUGCCACUCCUCCUUCUGAAUCUCUAUUCUGUAUUUUUUAUUCUUUUUUUAGUAAGGAAGAAGAAACAUUUCUCCUGAAGAAUUCAUUGGAAAUUAAAAUUAACUUGCGCGUUUUGUAUUCUUCGGAAUGGGGUGAAGACCGAUUUGCAAGGGCAGUGCUGGAUUUGAUCAGCCGUAGGAAAGAAAGGCGGUUCAUGCAGUCACCCUGCCUAGCACGGCCCCGCCACGAUGGAGAAGUGGGGUUGCUUUCAUUGUACUCCUUUCAUUUCUUUUCUUGCCAAGCCCAGUGGCUUCUGUUAUAACAUGUGGCAACUUCUCCCUUGGAAACUGACUCAGUCCAAGUUACCAUAAUAUUUAGGACCAGCUACAAAGACGUUUCUUCCCCUAAACUUGUGCCAAAUCUAAAUCAAACUCUCUUCCUUGGCCACUCAAAUAGCUCCAGCUCAUAUAAAAACACUAGAGGCCUCUUUCCGUUUUAUUCCUGUUCAAACAGAUAAACAAGGCACAUCACACCUAGUGUGGCUUUGAGCUUGAUCGCGUCCUCCUAACUGUCAUACUAUGUUGAUUUUAAGAAUUGUAGCUUAGGUGUUCUAGAAGGAAGAAAACGUAUUCUGAGAACAUAGCCAUGGUCUGUGCGCUCAGAAUAUGUCUCCUUCCUUCUAGAACAUCUGAGUUGUAGAAACUGCCUACAGUAAACUGUUGUCAGUGCUGCUGGUGGAAGGAAGAAUGAUUCUGACGUCACUGACCUUCAACAGGUGUGGCUCUAAGCUUCUGGGCCUCAGAAGCCCUGACCUCUAGAGGCUUGGGGCCAGCAGGGCCGGGAGUGAUCUCAUUGUGGAUGGCCACAGAUCAUCCACCUGCCAAACAGUUAACACUCAGCAAGUCACAUCAAUUCUGCUUUUAAAAAAGAAAAUCUGCAAAAUAGAAAAAAAAACCCGAUUCUUCAUAAACAAAUUUGUUCUGAUCUGUAAAUAGCCUGGUCAUUUCCCCCUUGGCAUUUGGUACACAGUGUACAGGCAUAUUUUAGUCAUCCUUGCUCAAGUAAUUAUAUUCCAUAACCAACUUCAUUAGCAUAAAUUAACUUCCUCAUAUUUUUAGCAAGAGUUACUUUCCUUCAUUGCUUAGUUUAUUGUUUUGAAAUAUGAAUUACUUUCAGCACAGUUCAUGUUUGCAGAUGGCAUUUCUGUCUUUUAAAUUUGAAAUUAUUUGAUAUAUACAAAAGAUGAUAUGUAAUAUACAAGUAAACUCUAAAGCACAAUUUUAAAAGGUGCUCAGCGAACCACCAUCCAACGUAAGAACUGGUUUUUUACAGACACUUGGAGAUCUCUCGAAGCAUCUUAUUCCUAACAUUUUCCUGCUUUCCCACUAUUCUGAAUUUUGUAUCUAUAAUUCUCUUGAUUUUUAAACAAACAAAUAUAUUUUUCUCACAGUGUAAUGAGUACAUGUGUGUUGCUAAAAGUAUGUUGAGACAUAAAAAAUAGUAUCAGACUGUGUCUGGUCUUUCUGAGUUUUUCCUCCAUUUAUAUUUGUAAAGUUCAUCCAUGUUUUCUGGUAUAGCUACAGUUCCUUCAUAUUGCCAGAAUAUUCUAGUGUGUAAUAUAUCAUGAUUUAUCCACCCUUUUGUUUAUUAUGGGGAGGGAAACAAGGAGCCCUUUUUUUAGGCAUGUUGAGUCUGAGGUCUCUGUUAGAAAUCCAGUGGAAAUGCUGAGUGGGCAGGUGUACGCUUAUUCAGGAGAGAGGUCUGAGAUGGAACUGACAGCAUGUAGAUGGCAUCUAAAGCAUUGUCUUCCUGGCAGUUCUUACAGCCCAUCAGCUGGGGGUGUGGUGUAGCUGUUGUUUGGUUUCUUUAUUUCUUAAAGACCUAUCUGCUGUUUUUUGUUUGUUUGCUUUCUCCCAAAUCUGCCUGGUCACUUUGCUGAAGUGUGACUUGCAAGUGAGUAAACGAGGAGAGUCUGAGCUUCAAAGAAAAUGGGGGAAGUAUUUCGCCAGCUCUCAUGGAGUUCUGUGAGAUCCAGAUGAAAUGCUACAUGUAAAUUUGCCUUGUAAACUGAAAAAAGUUAUGUACUUACUUAUUAUAUUUGACGAUAGUACCUUGUUGGGUUCCGGUUAAUACCUCAUGUUCACUGAGUACUUGCUUUAUCUGUAUUAGCACAUCUCAUCUUUAUAACAAUCUGUGUGAAGUAGGUACUGUAGAUUCAUAUUUUAUAGAGGAAACUACAGCUUGUAAAUGAAAUGGUAGACCCAGGAUUUGAAUUCAUAGAGUCUGCUUCUAGAAGUUGUGUUGUUAGCUCCAACGCUAUACUGUCAUACUGAUUGCCUGCCUGCCUGCCUUGUCCCCCUCCCUCCCUCCCUCCCCUGUUUUUGUUUUUGUUUUUGUUUUUGUUUGUUUUGAGACAGGAUCUCACUCUGUCACCCAGGCUGGAGUGCAAUGGCAUGAUCUUGGCACACUGCAACCUCCGCCUCCUGGGUUCAAGUGAUUUACCUGCCUCAGCCUGCUCAGUAGCUGGGAUUACAGGCGUGAACCACUGUGCCCAGCUAAUUUUGUGUUUUUAGUAGAGACGGGGUUUCUCCAUGUUUGUCAAGCUGGUCUUGAACUCCCGACCUCAGGUGAUCCAUGUUUCCACCCCCAGCCUCCCAAAGUGCUGGGAUUACAGGCCUGAGCUGUCAUGCCCUGCCCACAUUUGUUUUGUAUUGAUAAACUAUAUACCUCUAGGGGAUCUAGCAGAAAUUUGAUAGUGAAUAAUUUUACUGCAAUAAGUACUUAUGAAUUCUUUUUAAAGCAAGGAAGUCAAGCUCCCGCCAGGGAGAACACGAUCUGCCCUGAGGGCCAUUGACAGACUGACAUGGGUACAAGGACUGGGUCAUGGAUCGCUGACCCUUGAUUCUGUCUCCCACUGAGCAUCCCAAAGGGGCUGAGACCUCUGCUCUUGCCACUGGGCUUCAGCCGGGCCUGGAAAUGUUCUCGCAAAGGAAACCAGAAUGCAUGAUGUCCUGGAGUCAGCGGGUCACAGCUCACUGCCAUCAGGAGAUGUGAUGGACAAGGGUCCAUUUCUACGACACCGUGGUGAUACAGGUCAGGACCCAUGCGAAUUAGCCCUGCCAUCUGAAUUGGCACCUCUCUGCUUUUCUCACUGCGUGGCAGGUGCCUUGCCGUUGGCUUCAGAUGUUUGUGAAUGUGUUUCCUAGAGCCAUGUCAGUCAGGAAGAAGAUGUAGGUAUUCAGGAGAAGGGAGAAGAAAAUCUGAAUUAGAAACAGCUUGAGGAUGGAGAGUAGUACCAUCCCUAGGGAGGGAUGGUACCUUUGUCAUCAGAAGAAUGCCAGCCAGAUUUUAGUUCCUCAGCUAAUAAUACUAUUUGAGAAAUUGAUGGAGAAAUGUAACUGGAAGGUUUCAGCAAGAUGAAAGCUGCAUCUCCAAGGCUGGACUCGUGUGUUCAGAUGGGAACUGAAGAGUCACAAGGGUACCCAUUAUUUCCAUGAGUUCUCACAGUUCCCAGGGCAGCCACAGAUGGUGGGAGUUUGUCUGUCUCUGCCUUGACAGAAGGACAGUACGCAGCUGUGGCAAGAAAAACGGCCCAAAUGGGUGCUGCACUCAGCAGGUCACAUUUCCUGUAAGUGUUCCUGGGUGAGCUGCUUCAAAAGUAGAACGCUCUGCUGGGACUUUUCUUUCCCUUAGAAAGGUUCUUUGAGUUGGGCAUGGUGGCUCACACCUGAAAUCCCAGCACUUUGGGAGGCCGAGGCGGGUGAAUCACCUGAGGUUAGGAGUUCGAGACUAGCCUGGCCAACAUGGCGAAACCCCAUCUCUACUAAAAAUACAAAAAUUAGCCAGAUGUGGUGGCAGGUGCCUGUAAUCCCAGCUGCUCCAGAGGCUGAGGCAGGAGAUUCGCUUAAACCUGGGAGGUGAAGGUUCCAGUGAACUGAGAUUGUUCCACUGCACUCCAGCCUGGGUAACAGAGCUCUUGCUCUGUCUGGAAAAAAAAAAAAAAAAAAGAGAGAGAGAGAAAGGUCUUUGUUCACACUUUCUCUGCACUGCUGCAGAGUGUGUGUGCCCUUUCCUGCAGCCUGUGUCGGUGGCUGGGACUUUCUCGACAGCCAGACAAGGCGGUGCAUGAGGCCAGUAGGACCAGGGGCUGCCUCCCAGUGCUGAUGGCCCUGUGCUGUGUGAGCUUGGGCAAGCAGGUUCGGCUUGCUUCACCUCAGUUUCCUUGUUGCUGUGUGGAUGGGUUGCUCGUUUGGAGAAUUAAUAAUGAUGGAAUGUAAAGUGCAGUUGGUUUUGCUGGAGGAAGAACAGGCGGUUAGAAGUGAGGAGACCUAGGCAGGUGAUGGGACCUCUCAUGAACUCCAAGGUCUCAUCAGCACUGGUGCCCUCGUCCUGACAUUGUGGGGUUCGUGGCAUGAUUGGAGAGACCUCUCAUGCUCUCUGGGCAGCCGCUGUAAGUUCCUCCUGCUAGCCGGGAGAUCCACCGUUUCAUGAGAACCCUCCCUCAGUGACACAACCUGCCUUCCUCACUGUCAGGCUCAGGUUGUCCUGUGCCCCACUGAGCCUGCUCAUUAUUGAUUAAUGAACUUGUAAAAUGAGAAAUGUUGUUUUACCAGAAGCGACAUGUUUAUGCGGAUGGUAAAAAUGAGAAAAGUUGGUUGAGAACUGGCUCUCCUUUACAUGAGUAUAUCCAAAGUUCAAAUCUGGGCUUUGUGAUUAUAAGACAUGUUGAGUCAAUAAAAUGAAGGAAAUGCUGAGCAUUUAUCACAAUUCUUUUUUUUUUUUGAGACAGGGUCUUGCUCUGUCAUCCAGGCUGGAGUGCAGUGGUGCGAUCUUGGCUCACUGCAACCUCCACCUCUUGGAUUCAAGUGAUUCUCAUGCCUCAGCCUUCUGAGCAGCUGGGAUCACAGGCGUGGGUCACCAUGCCUGGCUAAUUUUUGGAUUUUUUUGUAGAGACAAGGUUUCACCAUGUUGGGCAGGUUGGUCUUGACCUCAUGGCCUCAAGCAAUCCAUCCACCUUGGCCUCCCAAAGUGCUGGGCCUACAGACAUGAGCCACUGCACCUGGCCUUUCACAAUUCUUAAACCAUCGACUUAGAGAAACACAGACCUGUGUCUACACACAGAUCACCUGACAGGCCCUUUGCAGAACUACCUGCUGUCAUGGGUGAUGUACAGACGAAACAUGGAAGAUCAGAAACUGGUCAUUCCUAAUCUCUGCCAUAAGUAAACAUUUUAGUUCAAUGUUAAAAGGUCAUUCAGGGUUAUUAUGAGAUUCGAUGAGAUCAUGGCUACAAGGAACCUUUAACUGUGUGAAUGAAAAAUCUGAUCAAACUGCAGAGGCACUCCUGUUUACUAAAACUGGUGUCGAGGCUGUUUCCGCCUUUCUUUCCUUUCCCUCCUCCCUUCCCUUUUCUUUUCUUUCUGUCACCUUCCCUCUCACUUUCUUCUCCCUCUCCCUCUUUCCUGCAUUAGUGGUUUUUUUGUUUGUUUUGCCCUGGCUGGAGUGCAAUGGCACAAUCUUGGCUCACUGCAACCUCCACCUCCCGGGUUCAAGCGAUUCUCCUGCCUCAGCCUCCCUAGUAGCUGGGAUUACAGGCGCCUGCCACCACGCCCAGCUAAUUCCUAUAUUUUUAGUCGAGAGGGGGUUUCCUCAUGUUGGCUAGGCUGGUCUCGAACUCCUGAUCUCAAGUGAUCCACCCACCUCUGCCUCCCAAAGUGUUGGGAUUACAGGCAUGAGCCACCAUGCCCAGCCCCGGCAUUAGCAGUUUUUACACAAGCAGUGCAUCGGCAUGAAUCCUGUCUUCAUGGCACUUACACACUAGCAGAGGAAUCUGGCAGCAAAUAAGCACACAAAGGCAGCUGUGGGGUACGAUGUGCCGUGACUGAAGGGACAGACACUGAGAGUCUAAAUAAAGCCUGGCAUGUGUUAACCCUGUGUGCCUAUUCAGAAACCAGGAUUCAUGGCAGCUCUGUUGUUACCUAUUAGAGGUAGCUUUGUAAGCAUAAAGAGUUUAGUUUUGUGAAGCUAUCUAGUAUAGAGUCGCUCUUGGAGGCUAGCAUUUUCAUAGAAAGGGUGGGUAGAUAGAAGUUUUUCUAACAAGCACAACUGUCAGUCUUUGAAAACUAAUUUCUCAUGUGUACAUUGUAGGAUUGGAAGAUAACUGUGGUUGAGUGUGAUAAACUGAAACUUUUUAAAAAAUGUAUUAUUAUUUUUUUAACAAGUUAACUUAGAGCCAGAUAUGCUGAUUCUCUACCAUUUUCAAAAGAGGAACUGGAAAAGAGAGAGCUCGUUUAUGUGGUAUUCACAAUAGUGUCUGUUCCUGAAGAAAAUUCUUGGAAAAAUCCCAUGAGUGUCCUCAGACUGAAAACAGGGAUGUAGUCUGCUGUCCCUGCAGGACUCAGGAGGCCAGGGAGCAUGUGACAGCAGGAAAGUUCCCAUCCCUGCCCUGCUGGGGAGCCCUCGGUGGCAAGGUGGCGAGUUCAGGCCUAACUUCAGAGCAUGGGUACUUCUGCAUGGGUGCUGGAAGGGUGCUGCAUGGGUGCCGGAAGCUGCUUGGCACAGUGCGUGUCCUGUUUUCUCCCACUUGGAAAGAGGACUGUGGAAGUCAGGUCUUCCCGGUCCUCACCAUAAAGCAAGCAACGAAUGCCUUUAGUCCAGGUAACAUGUCCAGCAUUUAAGUUCUCCGGAUCUCUCUUUGGAUACCCUGGGAAAAGUCUUGUCUCUUCUUAGGCCCUUCUUUCUUAAAGCACCCAGGACUUUUAAACUGACAAAUUUUUAAACAUUUACAAAUAGAGGAGAAAAUUAAAGCAAGAAUUUGUGAAAGCUGAAAAUGAUCUUUACAACUUGUCUCCUUCAGAGUAGAACACUGGAGCAUUGAAAGUCGUUCGUGUUUGUGAUUGAUCACAUCUUUAAAUAACUUUAAAAUAAAGGUCUCGUUUUAAUGGUAAAAGUUCACGUCGCCAUCAUUUCUGUGAGGUUCUAGAUCUUUUGUGAACAAAUUAAAUACAGUGCUUUCUUUAUAACAUGAAUUAAAUCUAGAUCCGAAUGAUAUUUGGCACCUUCUAAAUACCCAGAUGGCCACUGCGUUUGCCUUGAAGUGAAGACGUGUGUGGAGUUUUAAUCACAUGUUUUAUUUUUUCUCUUUUAAAUAUCGCCUUUUCAAUAGUUGCUUGUUAAUGAAUGACCAAUUGUUUACUGCAGUUUAUAACCAGGAAUUUGAACAUUAAAAAAUUCUAAUCGGGAUACAGGUUGAAAGACACUUUCCCUCUCAUUCUGUCUUUCUUUGUGCCAGAACAAUGAAAAUAAAUUGUCCUCCCUUUGGAAACAUAAUAGUUUGAGAAAUGUUAUCAUUCUCUUCUUGAAAACUUAAGUUUAAUAAAACAGUUCAGAGGAAAUGUAAUUAUAGUUCUUACACUACAAAAAGCUCUUAUAAGAUAGAAACAGCAGUAGGGCUACAGUAGAUUUUACUUCUCAGGCAUAACUGCCACUUGGAAAAGAAAGAUGUAGUUACAAAAUUAUUUUUGCUUUAUCUUCUCCAGUGUUUAAUCACAGAACAUACUGGGAUUGUUUUUUUUUUUAAACAGCAGGAACAAGACACAAAACUUAGUUAUCUAUCCAGGUAAAAUAAUUUGAGUCCAAAGACCGGAUUCCAGAACAGACCUCAUGUCCCUGUUGAGGGCAUGGGUUGUCAGGAAAGCCUGGAGGCAGAGGGCUAGAUUGUGGUGUAGGGUAGUAAGUGACAUUUGUUUUUGUAAAUCUUCAUAGUAGAUUAUUCUCAUGAAAUAAGAUUGACACCAUGACCUCAGGGAAAGAGUGCUUGGGGAGCUGCUCAUUCGAUUAAGCAAAGAAAGAGCUGAUAAAAGGGACUGAGGGUCUCAGAACAGUUGUUUCUUCUGCUGAACUUUUCCAGAUAGGAGCACAGGAGUCAUGAGAACAGGUGCUUCCAUUGCCCCUCCACAUGUUGGGCUGGAUCCACACACUGCCAGCGCAUGUGGAUACACACACACCCCUCAAAGACAACCCUCCAGCCUGUGGUUUUCCAGAAUUAGCUUUCCCACAGUACCUUGAACACUAUGGGUUCGGACUGGGGUUUGGGUUUGGUGACAGCUGUCAGCGCUCCAAAGGCAGAGGACUGAACUCAGGGCAAAUCCGUGGCAAGAAAGCUCUUUUCUGUUCCGUGAAAGUCGCGGAUGAUACUUUCAGAUCCCAUCUGCAAAUUGCCCAACGUGGCAUUGAUCGUGGAAACAAGUGAUCUGACACUCACAUAGCUAAAUAUAAUUUAUAAUUUUGAUGUGAGGCUGAAACAUGAAAGAUCAUGCUUUUCAAACUGCUCUGAUGACUUACACAGACAAUUCAUUUUCGAUAAUGGUGAGUGAAGCCUGCCAGCCUCUGAGCGUUUUUCACUCAUUUGUUCAAACACCUGCAGUUGGGUACUAAUGCACAUGUUUAAUUGCUCAAACUUAAAUUAUAAAAUCCCUAAAAGGAUGUUUUUAUCCCAGAAAAUCAGUCGGGUCUCUUGCAAAGACUGCCUGCUUUCAUGAGCUGCUUGUAUUUUCUGGGAUGCUUACGUGCCAGCGCCUGUUAGAAAAGGUUUGCUUUUAAACACGGGAAGUUGAGCCCUUCAGGGAAAGUGCCAAUGUCUGAACCAUCAGCAAAAUCACUACACCCAUUCCCUGGGAAGUCUAGUUUGUCAGAAACAAGUUUGAUUCAGGAACUAUAGUUUAUCCAGGUUCCAUGAAGGCAAUUAGCACUGGGCAGAGGCUGUUUGAUCAGCCUAGAGAGACCUCCUUUAUGCCCAAAGCUCCAGUCAUUUGUCUCUGCUCCUGCUGUCUCGCAGCAGCCGCAGAAAACAUCGAAACUGGAUGAAAAUGGCCCUGCCCCUGCGAUAGAGCAGGGCGCUUCUGGCUUGUGCCUUGUUAUUUGUCCCUCCAGUGGUUCCUAGCUGUUGUGACGUCAAGGCUGCCAUUCAGAGCAGAGAAAAAGGAAACCGUGGCCUCUCUCCGCAUCAGUAGCCCGGACAAGCUGUUGUUUCUCAGGCAUCCAAAGCGCUUUCUGUCUGGCAAAGCUGUGCAUUCCAUGCCUGGGUGACCUGGUUAAAUGGAGGAAACCAAAUGCUAUCCACUGAAUGCUCUCCAAAACAAGCAUUCCACCCUGCGCGUCUCAAGCACAGGCUUCACUGCCUCCGAGGACUGUGAAGGGAACAGCAGCACUGCCUGCGUUCACUGCUGGCAUAUUCAGCUUCUGGCCAGAGUCUUAAAAAGGAGAAAAUAAUAUCCUCAAUGACCUCGAUUAAUACACACUUCACCAAUGUCUUUGUGCUGCCUUUGGGGUCAGUGCUACAAAAUCCUUUUUUAAAAAGGGAUUUGGGAUCACAGUCAAAGUUCAAAACCGCUGAAGUGCCACCUCUUCCUUCCCAUCUCACUUCUGCUCACCCCAUUCCCCAAUUUCAGAUUUCUGAAUUCCAGAAAGGCUCUUGUAUGUGUGAAUAUAUUAAUCUUGCACCGUGCCUUAUUGAAUGUAUUUGCACAUACAUGAGAAAGACUCACAAGUAUAACGCAUGGAUCACAACUCCAGGGUUUUCUUAAUGAAGAGUAACACCUGCUUUUCAGAGAAAAGGAGCUAUUUCACAGUGCCACAGAAUUCUCCUAAGGAGCAAGCAAAGAUCUCUGUAGCAAACAUCAAUCCUGCAAGGCCAAAAGCUCACUAAUGAAGUUCUGAUCACUUAGAGUGACUGCAUUAGAACUGACCAACUUCAGACUAAAUUUUCUGAGGACAUAUCUUCUGGGGUUUCUUUCUGGCAUGAGAGACAACUUUAUUUUAUUAGAUUCUUGGAUUAGAUUAUACUCACUAGAAAAAGCAAGGUUCCUACAACCACACUUUGUGUUCCAGAGUUGUCUUGGUUAACUCAAUGCACAUUUGAGGUUUUAUGUUACAAAUCCCAAUAAAUCUUUCUCAGAAUAGUCCAUCUCUGAAUCGUUGAAGGAAGAAUAUUUGCAGGAACCAAAACUAUUUGAUAUGUACACCAGUGUGUAUACACAUCUUACUUAGAAAGGAUCGUGAUACACAGGGGUGCCUUUUAAGAGCGGGUUAUUAUACGACAGAAUUCUUCCAGAUCCCUGACUCGUCUUCUGAAAAAAAAAGUGGAGAUCUUCAGAUAACUGGAUGAAGACAGAAUGGAUGGAGUGAAUUAUGUAAAGUUAGGAUUCAGACAGAGGGUUUACAGGGCCGCCGUCUAGUUUUGCCUCGGCAUUCAAACCUGCCCAGGGUCCGGCCUGAUGCCAUACAAUUGCCAUAUCCACACUGGUAUAGAUACAGUGGUGGGAAUGGGGUGGGGAUGCUGAACAUGGCUUCUUGCUGGGUGCUUUGGUCUGGGUGAGCCUGAGAUCUGGAAAUGAGAGAAAAACUAGGACACUGCUUUCCAUUGUGGGCUGAAGAAUUAGUUCAUUCUUUGUUGGCUACUAGUUGCAUUCAGUUAAUCAUUUUCUUCUUUUUUCUCCUGUUGCCACUAUUUCAGGAGGUGCCUGUUAUCUGAAGGUAACCGAUAACAGACCACUACUACUAUUUUAAGAGGAUUUACUUAAAACUGAGUCAGAUAUUUUUAAAGUCACUUAAAAAAGAGAGAGAGAGAUCUUAUUUGGAUUAAGUCUUGAAAAAAAUAAAACAGAAGUUGAAGCUUAGUUUUAUAUAAUAGAAAUUUGAGAUAUGAUGCACAGCAUGUUAUUUCUUAGAAGAAAGAUUGAAUGUUGACUUGAAAGCAGAAUCAUAUGAAGAGGAUGAUUUUUGUACAAGCAUUCGAAUUUCCCCAAGGACUCUCUUAAUCUUUCAAUAUACAGACUGUUCUGUUGAAGAGUCUACCUCUCACAUAAUCACCUCUGUUGACUUUCUCUUCUUCAAUCGUUAACUGUUGAAACUGUCUUUCAUCCUUAUUUGUAAGUGACACUGUUUGACUCAUGCCGUUCUCCAAUAUCAUUUUUAUCAACUGUGUGAAAACCUGCGAUUUCACCUUACAAGUUAACUACAUUGGAUUUUCAUUUUAUUGUAUGACAUUAUUCAACCAGAAAGCGAGCAAGAAUAGAUUCUGAUGUUAAUGAGAACUAACAAUAAGUGAUCACGUAUUUGUCAGUAUUUUCAUAAGGAAACUUUGUUUCCUUAUGCAACUUGGUAACUACAGGGAUUCAAAUAAUGAUUACCCAAGUAAUGAAUCCCCACCCCCUGCCAAGUACUGUGUUAUAUUUAAAGUACUCAGCGUGCUUUAGUAGACUUUAUCACAUGUAGAUUUGGAAGCCACCCCUGACACUUCACUGAGUCCUGAAACCUUGGGUGCGCUGUUCACAGAACCUAAGAUUCUUGAUCUUUUAUGUAGAGUAAUAAAACCAGCCUUGCAUCGUGGUCAUGAGGAUUAGAAACCAUGGAUAUAAAACCCCCAAGUAAUACCCUGUGCAUGAGCUUAAUAAAUAGUCAUCAUUAGGGCUAUUGUUUUUGUGUGGUACCUUGCAUUUUAUAGGAGACUUUUACACUUAUUUAAUUCUUUACAUAAGCCCAGAAGCUAGAGAGCUUAAGUUUUACCCUCUAGACAUUGCAAAGACAUAGAAAGCUUUUGAGGAAUAUAGCGACAUGCAUUUCACUACAUUUUAGAAGACCAUAAUUGGUGACUGUAUAUGCUGUGCAUCAGCUAAUAACAUUUGAUAGCCAUUUUCUUCAUGGUAUAGGAGAGAAUACUAAGGCCCAAGGAUAUUAUGUCCUUUCUUGGCAUCACAUGGUUUGGCUCGGGCACAGCCCAGCCUAGAACCCAACCUUCCUACUGCCUGCAGUGUUUCUUCACUGCAGUGUUUGUUCGCUGGCAAGGGAACCAAUUAUAAAGGCUGUCUCACCUGUCCCAGAACAGAGAAAAAGGUGCACCCUGGUGACUGGAAACGGGAGUGGGAGGGAGAGGAUGGAGGCAGCAGACACUGAAAGGAAGCAUUGACUAGACUUAGUAACAGAAUGGCUCAGCUCGGCUCAGUGAAAAAGGGAGUCCAGAGGCCAAACUUGCAAGCCUGGUAGAACAGCUAUACAAUAAACUAAGUAAAAUCAGUAGAAUGGGGUUGGUUUUUUGCUUCAUGAUGAAUUUAAAGGGACUGCCCUAUCCAGAUAAAAAUAUGUUAAGGAUAUAGGCAGGAGGGGCAGCUACUGCUGAAGAUACAGAUUUGAAAUUAAUGCCACAGAAGGAGACCUGAAGGCAAUGUACUAACUAUAACUCUCUCUCUCUCUCUCUCUCUGUGUGUGUGUGUGCGCGCGCGCGCACUUGCGUUAAACUAGAUUUGUUGGCAUAUCUCCAAUUCAAGCCUGGGUCACGUGAUUAUGUCGUAAUUUACUGCCCAGUUAAAAUCGCAGACUGUUACACCUUCAUCAGAAGGAAGAGCGAGUUCCCUAGAUCCUUGUUUGUGUGUUUGUUUUGUUGAAUGGAUCGUGCCGAGGCACUGAGAGACAGACUUUGCUGGGCCCUGUUUUGUAAACAAAUCUGUUCACGCACGCUUUCUUCUAUCAUUGGAUGUGUACACUGGCUCUGAUUUUCCCACCCGACACACAGAAGCUUAAGCAUUUAAAGCCUGUGUUCUUUUAGAAGUAGGCAAGCAUCAAAGAAAAAUGUGCACACACAUUUAAAGUGUGCGCAUCUACCCUAAGUAAGUCUUUGGAUCUUUACGAUUUUAACUCUGGGCCGUGUGCAAGUAUAUUUCAGCCUACUACACACGGUAAACUGACAGUCCCCACAAAACUAUGGACUGAGCUAGGUGCAAAAGAGAAAGUCCUGACGGAGGGGAAGGGGAGAGGAAAAAAAAAAGAGAGAAAGUCCUUUUUACCCUUAAAGUCCAUUGCAUGGGCUGUGGUGGGAUUAGUCAUUCCAGAUGAUAAAACAUAAUACUCGUUUUCCUAAGUAGGCGUGUUUUAGCUCUUUCUUAGAUUGGAAUAUGAACUUAAUGUGUAUAAUACAUACAGUCACUUCCUGAACUUAAAGUUUUUUGCAUGUUUAAUAUUCCAGCCAGGUUUCAGUUUUUAUGGCAGGAAGCAUGUGAAUGGUUAUGACAGGAGUAAGUAACUUUGAUUUUAUGAUUACAGUACAGGAAGUAACAUUUCACACCAAAUAAAUCUUUGGGGGAAAAGUGCUGGCUCAUAAAUUUAACGUACGUAAGUUUUCCAGAAUCUUGCAUACAGUCACCUUUGCUCUCUUAAAUAGAACUAAAUACCUGGCUGGUCUCCUUUUUUUCUUCUCUUAACUUUUUUUUGGUCAGUAAAUGUCUGUUUUAGAAAGAGGCUCUGCGUGUUUUGCUGUGACCCAACAAGACAUAAAACCAUGAAAAGAUUCUAAGCAAAAAUAAUAAGGAACAUGAAAGGCUUGAAAACGAAAUAAAAACUUACUUUUUCCUUCAAGAGUAAAUAGGCUAGGCCUGGUAGUUCACACCUGUGAACCAGUGUUUUGGGAGGCUAAGGUGAAAGGAUUGCUUGAAUUCAAGAGUUCAAGACCAGCCUGAGCAACACAGCAAGACCCCUUCUCUACAAAAAAAAUAUCAAAAAUCAUAGCCAGAUGUGGUGGCACAUACCUGUAGUCCCAACUACUCAGGAAACUGGGGCAGGAGGAUCACUUGAGCCCAUGAGUUUGAGGCUGGUGUGAGCUAUGAUCGUGCCACUGCACUCCAGCCUGGGCAACAGAGCGACACUCUGUCUUAAAUGACCAAAUCAUUUUUCAUGUUAAAGCCUGGAAGCCUCCAAACUGCCUCUGAGGCAGGCUCCUUCCAGUGACUCCUGCAGCCAUGAUCUGCAGGCACUUGGGAGGAGCAGCCUGCGGAUGUCGAAGAGGCUGUUGCCUGUGAACAAGUUUAUAGAUUAAAGCAAAGAAUCAGAUGGAACUUCAGUUACAUUCAUCAUAAGCAGAACUUGAAUAGAGGCUUUGUUUUUCCUUGAAUAAAAAAGCAAAUUGCAGGAAGAAAAUAUUUAGAAAAGACUUCUUUCUUCAUCCUUUUCAUCUUAAAGCCUGAAGAAGUUGUAAUGAGAAAAAUACUGUAAGUGACCUUGGUUUCUGAAGGUUAAUAUUACACACACACGAAUUAUGUGAACAAAUGGAUGGAUGCCUGACAGAGUAAAAUGUAGAGCUCCAUCGAGAUGCCUUCAUAGCCACCUGUGGUUGUGACACAGUGGUGCAUCAUUGGGCUGGGAGUUAAAGGAUGAAGUGAACCUUUAGCUCUGUGUCUGGGAGCCCCACUGAACCACCCCAACUGAAAACAGGAUCUCCCCAUCCCUUCUACCUGUAAAACUCAGAACCACACGUUGUGUGCAAAUAAGUAACUUGCAAGUUACGUGAAACUGUUUUCAGAGGAUCAACAGAGUUACCACUGCUGAGUUGCCCUGAAUCUUCAUUAAAUUUUUACAGAGAAUAUAUCUGCAUGUGACAUGAUUAAAAAUCUGACUUGUGUUUUUAUAGUCUUUGUAGGUUUUAAGGUAGCUUCCUACUUGCUGUUUUCCUUGCUGGGCAGCCAACCUGGGUGUUACUGGCAGACAUGCUGAGGGCAGGCUCUCAAGGUCAAGCUUCCUGGCUCUGAAUCCUGGCUCCACCACCUACUGAUUGUGUAACCUGGGUGCAUCCUUAGUCUUCCUGGGCCUCAGUUUCCUUAUCUGUAGGAAGAGGAUAAAAAUAGAACUUACCUCCAGGGCUGCUGUGAAGAUUAAGCGAAUGGACAAUAUAGCUUCGGAGCUGGCCCUGCAUGCCAGUGUUCUGUUCUUGCUGAUGAUUAAACUGACUUAGAGAGGUUGGGUGAUAUGCACCACAGCAAAUCAGCAAAAAGAUGAACCGGAACUUGAACACCGCCUUAGGACGUCCCAGUGGCUGGUGCCCUUCUGUUGUGAGACCACUCUCUCCCCUGCCUAUAAAAGUGCCACGAAAGAGUGCACUCCGUUUCAUUGUUUAAGAGAGAACUGAGUAAAUGUUAAACAUGAAGGACAUUUGUCACAGGUUUUCCUUUGUUUGGAGAGGGUAGACUCCAUAGCACUUGAAUGAUGUCCACAGCCUAGCAAGGAGCUGGCCAGCCUCCAUGGUUUAAUCACGUUCUCAAUAUCCAGCCUUAGAAACAGCUCCCUUUAGGUCCCCAAAUCAACAGGAGUUUCUAAAGGAUAGCAGUUUUUUUACAACUGCUGCAUCUGUUAGAUUCAUGUUCUCUCUGCAUCCCCCUACCCCCAGGCUGCCAUUUCAUGAUCUUUUUGUUGUUUUGCUCUGCUUUUCCUCUUUUUAAAACUUCUGCAUUGGCUGCCCAGGACUUAAGGGGAACUUUUCUGAAAUAGGAACAAAUUGCGCAGAAACAGAGCUGUGAACUUGUGUGUAUACCUGACAUAGUGGGAGAGGGAAGCUCCCUUCUAAGUAAGAGAGAAGAGACGAUACUCUAAUCACUGAGUGGUGGUCAGGCCUGUCAUCAAUGCUUAUUCUUUUGCUGAGAUCAGUAUCAAUGGGAUUUUUAAAAAUUGUAGAUAUUUAAAAUUGCUCUCCAUGUAAAGGGUUUCUGUUUCUUUGACUGUAUCAAAGAAUACUUUUUUUCUACUGAGGAGGUUCAUAAGGUCUCAUGGGCAGCUGCUAAGGAGAUGACUAUUAUGUCGUGUAGUUGUUCUAAAAUAAAAAUUUACUUCCAAUUAUAGGUGCUUUUUUAUUUUUACUCACCCCCAAUUGGGAUAAUCGCUAAAGGCCAGGAGUUGGAGACCACCCUGGGCAACACAGCAAGGUGUUGUCUCUACCAAAAAAAAAAAAAAAAAAUUAGCUGGGCAUGGUGGUGCUUAGUUGUAGUUUCAGCUACUCUGGAGGCUGAGAUGAAAUGAAGUGAGACCGUAUCUCUAAAAUAAAUAAAUGAAGUAUAUCAGGCAAAUGAUUUCCAUAUUCUUCUUGUUAAAAUAUCAGUUUGGUAAAGAUUAUAAAAGAGUAUCACAUCCCAGGAAGUCAAGGCUUCUUUGAGCCAGGAUUGCGCCACUGCACUCCAGCCUGGGCAAUAGGAAUGUCUCAAAAAAAAAAAAAAAAAAAUCACAUUAGUGAAAAUUCCCUUCCAGAGUAUAAAUUGCAGAUUAUGUUUUUAUAUAUUUUUUAAAUAUUUAUCUUGAGUGUCCAAAAAUGUGAAAUAAAAGAGUUGGGGUCUGAGUGGCAAAGUGCUGCCAUGUUACAGGUUAAGGGCUUCCGUGUAUUGUGCGAUAAAUACAGGUGUGGAUUUGGGUGAUUUGUUUUAUCCUUCAGUGCCCAUUAAGUAGAAGCUUGUAUUUUCCUCCUUCCUCCUUCAAAAGCCCCCCUCCCCACCAUGUAGGCACAUGGAGGCCUCAAGUUAGAAGCACAUUCACAGCCUGAAGCUGAAGGACAGGCUCUGAAAAAUCUGUUCUUUCAGCAAAACGUCUACUGAUUUCAGAAAGUGAGCUUUGUCACCAUUGAUACUCUGUAAGGUGGGAUAAAAGCUAUUUUUCUUACCCACUUGGCCCAAUUGUCAAGAAAUGCUGCCCUUCUCUCUGACAUAAAUGAACAGGUUUGACUACAGCCGAGAGAAAUACAAAAUGUCACAUUUUAGCCUUAGUGGUCGGUUUUCAAAGAGUGCCGAGUGUGAACACGGUGUCGGCUGCUCUGUUAAUGUGGCUGGGUCUCAUAAAUAGGUAUUUUUCUGUCUCCGUCAUGGACAAAUCUGAAAAAGUUUUUUCAUCUCAUAAGCUCAGGGGAUGGCAUUUAGAGGCCGAUUUUCGGCAUCUUAGUGCCUUGUCGGGAAGAUGAAUUCCGUAUUUGAAAUUUGGGCACACACAAAAAUAACUCUUUCUCUUUCCUUGAAGGGUUAAUGCUCCAGCCAGCCUCAGAUUGGUUCGCUUGAAUCUUAAAAUUACUUUUCUGGUCACGCGCACUGAAGGUCUAAGCAUUUGUGAAAUGUCUUUUUUUUCCCCCCUCUUGAUGCUGUUCUCUUUGGGCUGUCUUAAUUACACAGGGGUUGAGAAACCAAAUUAAAAUUAGGCGUGUCUGGUCAACAGCGAUCACGUUGCAUGCUUUUAGCUGUGCUUGUUGAAGUUGCUUCUCCUCCCUGAGUGGCUUUCUUCCCCACUUUUUUUUAAAAGGAAAUAUCAUAAGCUCUUUCAGAAAUACUCACAGGAAGUGAGUGUCCGUAUGCUGGUUACUCACCAGCAACUGAGUGUUGGCAGGUGGAGAAUGCUACCGCAGCCUGCCCAGACGGAUCUGCAGACUGGCCCCAUCGCAGAGGAUUAGACGCAGGGUGCAUGGAUCAUAGGGUUUUUGUAUACAGAGGGGAGUUUUAAGAGGAAAUUGGUCACUGCAUGUCAUCUCGAGGGGUGGUGAUUCAGGGGGCAGGGCUGGGGGUCAGAAGGCACGUGGCUGCCAUCUCGGAGGUUCCUGCUCACUUUUCAGAGGGCAGGCUGGCUUCUAAAAAUCAACGCUCCCUCCACCCCCAAACAGCGAUUCUUUUGCAGUGAAUCACUUCCAGAAAUGAAUAGCCACAGUUUUUUGGAAUGAAUGUUGUGAAAUCCCUCCUUUAUAAUGGCAGGUUUUCAGUUGGUGGUUUUAUCAGAAUUUCUCAAGAUCAAAACGAAACCUUCUCUUUAAAAAGGAAAAAAAGUACUGUCGAUACAGAAAGCAAAAGUAUUUCCAGUCUCCUACUGAACUGUCACGGCAGACCUCUGUAUGUCUAUUUAGAGAUGUAUGUCCAUAUAUUUGCCUGAAUGCGUGAGUUCUUGGAAGUAUGGAUUCAUUGCCAGGAGCUGGUGAUUUCCUAUGCAAAGGUCGCUAACUAGAAGAACGGUUACACUCGGUGAGUAGGUGGUAGUUUCUGAAGAUUAUUGGUAACCCAGUGUUGGUCGUCUUGAGUCAUGGAUUUAAAGGAUAGCUAGCAAACUCUUAAACACUUCUGCUUUAUAUGAUACAGAGCAUGGAACUGCAGGACUCACAGACAGUUGUGAAGGGUUUUUAAGAAUAUGAAUUCUUCGAAUAAUCAGUGAAUCUUUUGAAUAUACUAGACCUGUGGAGGAGGAAGGAGUGUUUUACAGAAGGAAGUGGUUUGUGGGGGCUUUUAAAGGUACAGUUACUCCUUUUCUAUAUUUAUUUUCAGCAUCGUUCAGGUCCUCCGGUAUGAAAGAAAUAAAUGGUCUCAACAGAGAAAAAGUUAUGCUGACUCUUUAAAUGAAGAAACUUGAUCCUCCUGUUACUCUUAAGUGGACUUUUUUCUUCCUAAAUAUUCAUAAGGGAAACUAUCCCAUGAAGGCAGCUGACUUUCUGUCGAUCUCACGACAUGGCUCUUUCAGAGCCCGGUGGGGUCUCUAUGCGUUAUUGGCAGCACUGCUAUCCAGGGGCCCAGACGGGGAAUAGGGUUACUGGAAACAGGGAGUGGAGCUCAAGGAAUUGUUCUCUCUCCAGAGUGGAUAAGAUGUUUGACCUACUGACUCAUUUCAUAGGAAUUAGGAAAACAACCUAGUGUGGUUUUUAUUGUUAGUCCUGGAGGAUUCCAAAAUCUGUGUCUGCUAAAUAAGAUGAGCUGGUGAGAGGGAGCGCUGGCAUUUGGCAUUUCCACUUGCCUCUUCUCCUGAUGGAAUCCAAUCCUCUGCUUCCAGGAUGAGUCCAGCCUGCGCUUGGGGAUCCUUCGUACGACCGUUCAGUGGUGAGUAGGUGCUGAUCUUCUGAACAAAUGCCUCCUGAGGAUUUCUGUGCCUGGAAAAUGACUGUUAACAGAUUGCUUUUACACCCUACGUAAGUAGAGGCUUCUGCUUAUAAGUCAGCGUCAAGGGAGUUUUGUUUUAUUUUGUCCCAGGAUGAUUCCUCGGUACAUUUUUAUUUUUCUUUUUUGACAUAGGGAUUUGCUCUGCUGCCCAGGCAAGACGAGUACAGCAGUGUGAUCACAACUCACUGCAGCCUCAACCUCCUAGGCUCAUGUGAUCCUCGCACCUCAGCCUCCUGAGUAGCUGGGACCACAGGCAUGCACCACCACACCUGGCUAAUUUAAAAAAAAUUUUUUUAUAGAGACAGAGUCUCCCUUUGUUGCCCUGGUUUCAAACUCUUGGGCCAAGUGACUCUCUGCCUCAGCCUCUCAAAAUGCUGGGAUUACAGGUGUGAGCCACCAUGCCUGACAAGCCUGAUACAUUUUUUUUAAAUGGUUGUAUUUGAUCUCGACUCUUAACCACCCAACUCUCAGUUUACUGUCAGGAAGAGUCUAUAACAUGAACUCCUGCUUAAAAUCAAGGGUACAGAUCCCAUAGUCAGGUCUUAGAAUAGAAAGAGGAGAAGGCAGCUGAAAAUACUCAAUAUUAUGUAUUUCAGUAAAUUCAGCUGGGAAUGCCAUUUAUAGGUCCAAGGGUUUCUCUUCUGAUUUUAGUAUUAGUGAGAUGGCUUUGCAGUCACUCUAGAAUGUGUCAGUAUAUGGCAAAGCGUGUGACAGCAAGAUCUCUGCACCCUCUCCGUUUACCAGCUAUGGCAGAUCUCUUAGUCACAUCCCUGUUAUAAUGUGCUCAUGGAAAACGAAUGUAUUCCUUUUAUUAGCAUAGCUGCCAUUUACUGAAUAUUUACGUGUGCUAACGCUCGUUGAAAUGGCUUCAUCAUAUUUCCCUGAUUUAAUCCUCACAACAACCGUAUGUGCGAGGUCCAGUUAUCACCCUCAUUUUACAGAUGAGGAGACUGAGCAGAGAGAGUUAAAGUUAUUUGCCCAGGGUCGUGUGAGGAGCUGGUGGCAGAGCUGGGCAUUCUGGCUCUAGAGUCUGCAUUUGCCCAUCUCCCCAUACAGUGUCAUACAAACAGGAAACGAGAAGAUAAACUGUAGGGCUACAUUUUGGAGACAGUAUUUCAACACUGUCAUAAUCUCAAGCAUGAUCUGUGCUUUUUGACUUGAACUUCUGUAAGGUUACUGGGAAGAUGAAGCUUUAGAGAAGACGGGACUGGCUUAAGGUCACACUGCAUGUCAGAAGUGUGGCGGAGGGUCCAGGUCUUCUGACCAUUCAGUACAAGCCAAAUUGCGCUAAUUCCCAAUUUUUCUCCUUUCUCUCGGUGAGUUGUUUAGUGCUACUUCUACUACUCAGGACCAAAGCUGGCUUUAAUGGUUUACUCAUGUGUUUAGUGAUGAAAUCCUGAAACUUGGGGCCAGUGAGUGUUCAGAGGUCCAUGUGAAGAUGCCCUGAAUGGUAUAGAUAAGGACCGAGCAGUAAAGAGCACCAGCUGAAUGCCUGGGCUGGGAAUCGGGCAUGUUGGAGUUUGGGUCCCAGCCUGCCAUUCCAGCUCUGUGACCAAGAGCAAGUCACAUACUCUUUCAAAAUGUCUAACCCCUCUUCUGAAAGACAAAGAUGCCACCACCAGCCAUGUUAGUGGUUGUAGAUGCCAAGAAAGUGCAUGUGAAGCACGUGUCACAGUAUCUGCAGUGGAGUAAGUGUUCCAAAAAUGGAGGCUGUGGUGAUUUCACAGAGUUCCCUUCCCAUCACUUUUCAGUUCAUUGUGGCUUUCUCCCUCAAAAGCACUCCAGUGUUCUGAUUCAGCUGAUAAAACACCAAACAUUCACAUAGUGCUUUAAAAGUGACCCACUGUUGGCCGGGUGCAGAGGCUCGUGCCUAUAAUCCCAGCACUUUGAGAGGCCGAGGCGGGUGGAUCACCCAACCAACAUGGCGAAACACCGUCUCUACUAAAAAUACAAAAAAUUAGCCGGGUGUGGUGGUGGACGCCUGUAAUCCCAGCUGCUUGGGAGGCUGAGACCCGAGGCAGGAGAAUCGCUUGAAACCAGGAGACAGAGAUUGCAGUGAGCCAGGAUCACACCACUGCACUCCAGCCUGGGCAAUAAGAGUGAAACUCUGUCUCAAAAAAAAAAAAAAGUGACGUACUGUUUUUAUAGACUUCAUUCCAUAUGACCCUAACAACCACUGCAGUAUAGAAAUUCACAUCUCCACUCUCCAGAUAAGUAUACCGAAGCUCAGAAAAUUAAACGAUUUGCCCAGGAUCACAUAGCUAGCAAGCAGCCCAGCCAGAUCCUGCAUUAACCUGUUCAUCCACUUCCUCUAAGAAAACAUCUGCUCAAGGCACAUGGGAUGACAGAGAAGGACUUAGCGUGAUCUGGCCCCCUCGUCAAGGCAGUACCAGUUGCCCCCCUAGUCUAGCCUGAAUACUCAAGUUAGGACUAUUGUGUCCAAUGUCCCAAACAUUUUGAGUAUACAUCUUCAAGACAUGCCCUGCUCAGAUGCAGUUUUCCUUGUGAAAUCCGCAAGCCCCAAGGGAAGUUACUUUAAUCUAGUUUGCUCAUGCAAGAACAGACUGGCAUUUCACAGCCAGGAAAACAAUGGACUUGUACUGCAGCUUUUGCCAUGCAAGGGUUCCUGGUGUGGUGUAUUAAUUCACAUCUCAGGCUCCAGCUUCGCUAUCAGAUUUGGAAGGGAAAAAAUGACAAAGCUUGCUGAGAAACAGCCUAAGCAUGACGGCACAGACCAGGUUUUGAAAUGGAGACACAUUCUCAUGGCUUAUGGGCUAAGAGACACUGAGAAAGGAUUUUGUUCUUGAAAGAUGAUUGUUUUAAUCCUGGAGAUGGAGCGUUUUGACACUUUUAAGUGCGUGUUCUGUGUGUAAGAGUCAUUACAGGUUUUUUUCUUUCAGAUCUUGCCAUGCCUUAAAAUUGCUGAUGAUUAAAAUAGAACAUCCUGAGUUACAGAAAUUCAGCCCUACUGUAUCCUGGCCUAAAAAUACAGAACAAUCAAGUUGAUUGUUGGAAAUUAGAGGCGAGGGAGGAUUGGAAACAUGCUAAUGUUUACUCAGUGAAAUCUUCCCUUCUCAGUGGAGUUGCCUUUGCAGCUGAAUGUCACUGAAAGACUCAACAAAAUAAGCGGAUCCCACUUGCCCUCACUCUCUUCUAUGCAUGCCCUGGAAAGAGAAUGAAUGAGCCCUUUUUGACUUAUCAGCUGGUUUUCUUCCAUCUCCUUACUAGUGAGCCAUGGAGGUGUUUUGCUGUUAACUGGGUAGCCAGUCUCUUCGUGCAGACUUAUUUUCAGGAAACUGGCCUCUUGCUUUAUGUGAAAACAGGGACCCGAUUCAAGAUGCCUAUCACAGUGUGUUCUGUUAUGUAACAGCUGCAUCUGUAGUCCAGCCUAAAUACUCACGUUGGGAUUGUUGUGUCCUGAGGUCUCUUAACAUUUCGAAGCUACAUUCUUAAAGAAGUGUCAUGCUCAGAGAGAGUUCUCCUUGUGAAAUCCUCAAGCCCCAGGGGAAGUGACCUUAAGCCAGUUUGCUCUUGCAAGAACAGACUGGCAUUUCAUGUCACAGAAAACAAUGGACUGCCACUACUCAGCUUUUGCCACACAGGAGUACCUGGUGUGGUUACUACCUGCCAACUGAGUACCCCACUGUCUCCCCAAGGACAUAAAAGCAAUGUGGGAAGGUAUUCCAAAUGACCUUGUCAAACUGCUAAAAUUGAAGACCCAUAGAUGCAAAAUAUUAUAUCUUACCUUUAUUCUUCUGCUGCUGAUUUUUUUUUUUUUUUUUUUUUUUUGAGACAGAGUCUCACUCUGUCACCCAGGCUGGAGUCCAGUAGUGUGAUCUUGGCUCACUGCAACCUCUGCCAUCCGGUUCAAGCAAUUCUCCUGCCUCAGCCUCCCGAGUGGCUGCGAUUACAGGUGCGCACCACCACACCCAGCUAGUUUUUGUAUUUUUAGUCGAGAUGGGGUUUCAAAACCUUCUUGGCCAGGCUGGUCUUGAACUCCUGACCUCAUGAUCCAACCACCUCGGCGUCCCAAAGUGCUGGGAUUACAGGCAUGAGCCACUGCGCCAGGCCUUUUUUUUUUUUUUUUUUUUUUUUUUUGGCAACAGAGUCUGGCUCUAUCACUCAGGCUGGAAUUCAGUGGUACAAUCUUGCCUCACUGCAACCUCUGCCUCGCAGGUUCAAGUGAUUCUUCUGCCUCCGGCUCCUGAAAAGCUGGGAUUACAGGCAUAUGCCACUAUGACCAGCUUUUGUUUGUUUGUUUUUUGGAUUUCUUUUAGUAGAGAUUGGGUUUCACCAUGUUGGCCAGGCUGGUCCUGAACUCCUGACUUCAAGUGAUCCACCCACCUCAGCCUCCCAAAAUGCUGGGAUUACAGGUGUAAGCCACCACACUCAGCCUUCUGUUGAAUUUUUGAGAAGCAUACAUAAAGACAAUAUAAAAAACACUUAGCAUGUUUUUUGUCCCUGCUAAGGGCAUGAUUGAAUAUAUAGUGUGAGUAUUUGGUGUAUGAAAUAUAUAUGAUCUUAUCAGACAGAAGAAAGAAAUUCAUUCUUCAGGAAAGAUUUUCCCCAAAACUGAAGUGUCAAUUAUUUGACAAAAAACUUCCAGGCAGUAGGCAAACACUGUGACUAGGUAUUUAUCAAAAAUAAGCCAACUUUGGAGUAUUGUAACUAAUGAGAAUAAUCUGGCUGCUUCUUGUGUACGUCAGUCACUGACAUUACACUGUGAAUUACACUAGCAUAUACAGAAGGAUGCAGGGGGUCCCUAAAGGAAUAACAGUUAGUGAAACCAUUAUUUGAGAGUUGCAGUGAACUGGCACUUUUCCCAGUUUCAAUGCUUAAAUUUACUAUGCACUUGAAAUGUGUCACUGCCUGUCACUUCACCAAGUAUGUGCCUUUCAUUGCAGUCAACAAGCUAUUUACCUCUUUGAUGAAUGACUGCCACACAUCUCCAUAGCCCUGGUGUUCUAUUCCCUUAUUCACAGAGAUUUUUUUUUUAAUUAGCCUAGCAGCAAUAGAUAUGUGCCUGGAUGCUUCUCCAUGUUAAAGGAUGAGUUUGUGCUGGGAUCUCCUCAUGAAGAAAUAACUGGCCAAGCCCAUGAGGAACAAGAAUGUUACAUUAAUCCAACCCAAGGUAAACAGCCUGCAGUGCACCUCCUGACAGAUUAGCACUGAACCCACGUGAAAUCAUUAACCCCAGGCACAUGGUAAUUAGAUGUUCUCUUUUUUAUUUUGAGACUGGAGUCUCGCACUGCUGCCCAGGCUGGAUGGGGUGCAGUGCUGUGAUUUUGGCUCACUGCAACCUCCACCUCCUGAGUUCAAGUGAUUCUCCUGCCUCAGCCUUCCAAGUAGCUGAGAUUAUAGGUGCCUGCCACCUUGCUUCUAAAUGAUGAAGCUGAACCUUUGUCUGGGCAAUUUAAGAAUAAGGGGAGCCGGGCGCAGUGGCUCAUGCCUGUAAUCCCAGCACUUUGGGAGGCCAAGGUGGCUGGAAUCACCUAAGGUCGGGAGUUUGAGACCAGCCUGACCAAACUGGUCUCAAACUCCCGACCUUAGGUUAGAGAGGAACCCCGUCUCUACUGAAAAUACAAAAUUAGCCGGUUGUGGUGGCACAUGCCUGUGAUCCCAGCUACUUGGAAGGCUGAGGCUGGAGAAUCACUUGAACCCAGGAGGUGGAGGUUGUGGUGAGCCAAGAUCUCACCAUUGCACUCCAGCCUAGGUAACAAAAGCAAAAACUCCACCUCAAAAAAUAAAAUAAAAUAAAAUAAGGGGAGUCCCAGGCAUGCUCCCCCAUCAGUAACAAAUUCGGUGACGUCAGUCUAUAUGAAAUUUGCCAAAGCUCUGUUUAGACCACUAACUCACAACUAGAUUUCAACUUUUCCUUUCUAGAUUGUCUUGGGUUUAUUGUAAGAGAGGAUUCUGAAGAAAAAAUAGACCAUAAAGCUUCUUCAGGAAGCUGGUUUCAUAUGGUGGUUUAGAUUUAAAUAGUGAUUGUCUAGCACCAUUUGAAAUCAGUGUUCUUGGGGGAGACCAGCUGCGCUGCACUGCCAACAGCAAAAGGAAUGAAUGGGACAGCUCUGAAGUAUUUGAGAGCAAAAGCAGGACGGCUGUGAGAACGUGCCUCCCAUGUAGCUGACCCGUUCCUCACCCCUGCCAACAGUGGUGGCAUAUGCCAUGAAUGGCAGUCAAGUCUCCACAUGAGCGGAUCCAACCGUGAUCGAAAGUUUUCCAAAAAUACGUUGCGUCUGUACUGAACAUGUACAGACUUCCUUCUUGUCAUUAUUCUCUAACGAUACAGUGUAACAAUUUGCAUAGCAUUUGCAUUGCAUUGGGUAUUACAAGUAAUUUAGAGCUGAUUUAAAGUAUAUAGGAGGAUGUGUGUAGGUUGUAUGCAAAUAUUCCACCAUUUUCUAUCAGAGACUUGAGCAUCUGUGGAUUUUGGUAUCCAAGGGGCUUUCUGGAACCAGUCCCUUAAGGAUACCAAGGGACGAGGGUAACUGUACAGGAUGUCUCAUUAUUGGCAUUUUAUAUUUGUUUGUGGAAUAAACCGACAGCACUUAAUGGAUAGUAACAGACUCAUUCCAUCGCGCCUUGGUUAAAGGGCCAAGGUUUGGGCCCUCUCAACCCUCACGUCCUCCUGUGACCCCUUAGAGGAUGACUGAUUUCUUUUGGUGUUCAGAGUCAAUAUAAUUUUCUAGCACCAUCUGAAAUCGGUUAUAAUGACUGGGGAAGAGCACCACGAUGCUGACUGAUGAGAGGAGAAAUGUAUUGGUGACCCUUGGGGCCACAGAUAAGUACUGAGAAAACAAAUGCAAAGCAAUAAUGCAAAGGUGGUUUUUCUUCUUCCAGUUUCUAAGCUGAGUUUCAUUGACCUGAAUUGCAUGUGGUAUAAUACUAACAAAUGGUUAUUCUUUAUAGAAAUUCCACAGAAUUGGUGGGGGUUUUGUUUUGGUGACGGAUACCUAGAAACACUCCUUGGAAAAAUCAAUGAUCGCCUUAGAUGAUAGGAAAGGAGCAGCGAGGGACUCGAUUCUGUUGUGGCCGAGAAGCUGCACCCACUGUCUCUGAACUCUCUUGCCGGGCUGAGGAGCUCCCUCCAUGGUUAAAGAGAUCAUUUUCUUACAUAAGGAAAAAUGGUCCAGAGAAACUGGGUUUCUAUGGCUGAGAGAGAACUGUGCUAAUCUGUCAGUUCAGUUUAGAAGGCAAAGCGAAGAAAGCAGGUUCUACUUGAACUAGGAUCCUAGAAUAUACCUUUGCUAUGGUUUGGAUGUUUGUCCUCUCCAAUCUCACGUUGAAGUGUGAUCCCCAGUACUGGAGGUGGGGCCUGGCAGGGGGUGUUUGAGCCAUGGAGUAGAUCCCUCAUGAAUGGCUUGUGCUGUCCUCACUACUGAGUUCCUGCUCAGUUAGGGGGAGCUGAUUGUUUAAAAGAGCUGCAGGCUGGAUGUGGUGCCUCCUGCCUGCAUCCCAGCACUUUAGGAGGCUGAGGCAGGAGGACUGCCUGACGUCAGGAGUUCGAGACCAGCCUGGCCAACAUGGUGAAACCCUGUCUCUACUAAAAUACAAAAAAAAUUAGCCAGGCAUUGUGGCAGGUACCAGUAAUCCCAGCUACUCGGGAGGCCAAGGCCAGAGAAUUGCUUGAACCCAGGAGGUGGAGGUUGCAGUGAGCUGAGAUGGCGCCACUGCAUUCCAGCCUGGGGGACAAGAGUGAGACCCCAUAGGAGCUGGUACCUCCUUCCUUUCUCUUGCUGUUUCUUGCUCCCUCUCUCACCAUGUGACACCCGUUUCCCGCUCCGCCUUCCACCAUGAAUAAAACGUCCCGAGACCUCACCAGGAGCUGAGCUGAUGCCAGUGUCAUGCUUGUACAGCCUGCAGAACCGGGAGCCAAAUAAACCCUCUUUCCUGGAUAAAUUACCAGUCUCGGGUAUCUCUUUAUAGCAGCACAAAACGGACUGACACAACCUCACUAGAAGUAAAAUCAUUAGCCUGAAAACAAUACUGAGUUUUCUGGGUCCGCUACGAGGCAUUAAAAAAAACGGCUUAGGAAUGAGCCAUCUCAGCCGCUCGGGGGCCCCUGAGUGCAUCUCCCAACACAGGUACUGUGCAAACUUGCCGCCUACCGCCACCUGCUGUCUUCUUGUGGUAUCCUGGAGAACAGCAGGGGCACCUGGUGGAAUUCAGGCCUUGUCCUUGUUUUCUUUCUGGCCUGGAAAAGCCACUGGCCUCACGAUCAAGAGAUAAUAUCCAUCUACCCUUCUUAAGCUUUCCCCACCUCUCACACCACCUCCCUCCUUUCCCCUCCUGCCUGUCACUUGUCUGGAAAAGUUGUUUUCUCCUCCGGGCUAAGACAUGCAGUUUGUAACCAAAACAUUCUACCAGCAAAUCCAAUGAGAAUCAGGAUCAUCCCGCCACAUCUUUUUCUGUCCUAUGGUUAUUAUUUUCCCAAAACUGUCUUUUGCCUUCUUACCUAUCUGCUGUUUUCUGAGUAAUCUUAUUUACUCCCCUGGUUCCAAAUACAUCCCUGUGUGUUCAGUUCCCUCAAACCAGAGCUCUAGCCUGGGAUAUUUUUUGAGACCUCUUGCUUUUUAUAUUUUUAGUGGCUCCUAAAGAUAAUAGUUUAGCCUGCUCUUCUAAACUUACCUCAGUUUAACCCAUUUACACCUGAGGUUGCAAUUCUUUGAAUUUUUGCCACCAGGCCUUGGCAAUGACCUUGAACAGUAGGACAUAACUCCCACAUGCUUAGCGUUCCAAUAAUGGAACACUAGGCAUAUAGCCAAAGCCAUCCACAUUGUCCUCUCCCCAAAGCCAGCUCUCCCUGCUCUGCCCCAUGAUGAAAGCUGUGAAUACCUUAUGUCUGUGGCCUCUUCCUUCUCCCUCACCCACAUCCACACUCAGCAUAACUAACUUGUUGCUGUUCUCUCCCAAUUCUCUCUUUUCCACCCCUUUCUCUGCUCCUCCUAGACGGCUUUCUGGGCCUGCCCCUCACCAUGAGUCUAGCUUUGCUGGAGCCACCAGUUAAUCUUUGUAAAAUACAUACGUGAGCUGAGUGCUAUGGCUGGUGCCUUUAAUCCCAGCUACUUGGGAGGCUGGGGCGGGAGGCUGCUUGAGCCUAAGAGGUUGGCUGAGGCUGCAGUGAGCCACGAUCGCAUCACUGCACUCCAGCCUGGAUGUCUUAAAAAAAAAUCGUUUAACUACAUGACCUUGCUCUUUGUCCCUCACUUUUAGCUGAACUCUUUUAAGUGUCCCAACCUGGUACCAGACCCUUCAUGACCUCACGCCUGCCUGUAUUACCACCUCCUGGCUGUGCUUCCCGGGGCCUGCUUUCUGUGCUCACCCAGCUGCUUGCUGCCAACACUCAGGUACCUUGGCAUUUCUCAGCCUGUGUCUCUGCUGUUUCCUCUGCCCACAUCUCCCCUCUCCUCAACCUCCUCAUCAUCUAGGGACCGUCAUCAGCUAGGGACCUCCAGCCUGCAGCUCCUGGCUCAGGUGUAAACUUGUCAAGUAAGCCUUCCUCUGCCUUUCACAUCAAGGCUUAGAGCCCUGGCAAGGGUUUUCUUUUCUGUGCCCCUUCAGAGCUUGAGAGCACUUCCUGCAUUACACUCCGAUGACUGAUUACCUACUAGGCUUUUCUGCAAGGCUGGAAGAUCCUUGCUCCUGGGAGGAACGGGUCUCACCUCACUCCCAUCGCCCAGGCUGGAGUGCAGUGGUGUGAUCACAGCUCGUGCAGCCUUGACUUCCCAGGCUCAAGUGAUGCUCAUAUCACAGCCUCCCAAGUAGGUGAGACUACAGGUGUACACCACCAUGCCCAGCUAGUUUUUUGUAUUUUUAGUAUUUACCUCCAUUCUACAGCUGUUAAAACAGGCCUCAGAAGGAAGAACAGCUAUCUUGGACUGAGAACAGCUUUCCUUGGUCAGUGAAGGCUGGGAGCUCUAGCAUUUUCUCUCCUCCAGUCCGUCUGGGUAUAAUGGCCACCCACUGUAGUGGGCUUUGAUUUUUUUCCAAGAAUGGAGCUUGGAACCCCAUGGAAAUUGUGUUUUGUUAGUAAGCUGAUGGAAGGAUUUUUUGGCAUUGAUUUUAAAUUACCAUAGUCUACUUCUCGUGAAGCUCCACACCCCUCAUUUACUCUCUCUCUCUUCUCUUUAAGGGCCAAGGAACAAAGUAUAGCCAACUGUUUCGAAGCCACCCUGUUUUGAAAAGGCUUUUUCCACUCAGGUGGCCUUGCGCCGAAUGGCCAACCCUGCCCACUGUAUGAAAACAAUAGAUGCUGCCUUAGAAGGGAGCAAGCUGGCACUGCCCUGGUAUGUGGGUGCGGCCAGGAAGAUUUGGGCCAAACUGUGCAGACUUGCUGUCUCAGGAUUAGCACUUUCUACAGCCAGAGCGGAGACGAGGGAUAGUCAGCAUCCAACCCUUCCUCCUGGAGAUGAAAGGGGUCUGUAGAUGGACAAGGCCCUUGUUCCCCAAGUCACAGGACGAAGUCAGGAGAAGGAUAGAAGUCAAAAAGGAGGAGGAAAUGGUGCUGCUCCUAUCACCUAUAAAUUCUGCAUCCAUGAAAAGAAAAGUCCGCAAAUUAUGGCCCUGAACCAAUCUGUAUCAACCCUGAACAUGUUGGGUGCCACCCACUGGGUUGGGCAGAAGAUGGUGCAGGCCUGGCAGAAGUUGGUAAGGAACACUGUGCCAGAGGCUUGGUGUGGCAGGAGGUGACAGGACAAAGGUACCAGAGGAUGCCAGCUGGGCGCCAGCCUUCUUAGCUGUCAGAACUGGUCUUGGAAAAAAAGGAUGGCCGCCGGGUAUGCUUUCGUAGGAGGCAUUUUUACUGUUGCAGACAGCUGCCUCUCCUUCCUUCCUGUGACUGAACAGGCCAGAGGGGAAGGUCAAGGGCAGGCAGGAGAACAGGGACAAAAGCAUAAAGUGUGGAUUGUACACGGACUUCUGUUCUAAUCCAGCUCACUUACCGACUUACUGUGUCAAAAAACAAAAACAUUAGAAACUUGGAUGGAAAAGAGGCUGGCACAAAUGCAAAUAAUAUGAGCUGAGUUCCAAAAGAAAAGAGACAACAGAUAAGAGAUUCUCGUUGAUACUCUACCUGUGAAUGACUUUGCAAUUGGCCUUGGGAAGGGUCCUGAUGGGCAUGGAAAAAUAAAAAUAAAAAAACACUAGCUCUAUUUUCUCUAUAUAGAAGUGAAGGUCAAUAGGAGUACCAUGUUGAAAUGUCUGGGAAGUGAAAGUGACACAGAAAAAGAGGACUUGUGGGUAUAUGCAUUGGCCUUUUUUAUCUGAAGGUGCAACAGCCAGUGAAGAUGGGCUGCCUUCUGGGUCCCUGGCUGCUCCUGAGCUCAUGCCUCUGUCCUAGCAGCAAGAGCCCCUCAGGGCUGUAGAAUGUGAGUCCAAAAGACCAGACACGUGAUGCACUCCUCUGCUUUCUGAAGCAUAGGAUCAGCCCUUAGAAGCAGCUGUUUGCCUCUCCUUUAGUAGUUCAAGAAUUCAGUUCAGUAAAAAUUUAUUGAGCACCUACCCUGCUCUAGGCACCAACAGGGGGUUUCCCUGUACUAUGCCCAGAACUUUGCUCCUCAGGCCUUUCUCAGCUCAGGAUAUUGGCUUAAGCAGCUCAACUGAUUGCAAGUGCCACCCUUCCCAAGGGGUUUCCCUUAAAAACCCACGCUGCUCUCCUAGACAAAGUUAAUGUCUGGCUCAACAUGCCACACCUCUCUGAAGUCCUUAAGUUCUGAGAAAGGAAUCCCAGAAGGGAUGCAGGACUCUUCAUGAUGCUGAAUGAGAGGCAAGACCCUCUGCUCCUGUUGCUCGCCAGUGUUCUCCCAGGUCCCCUAGAGGAAAGGCUCGUCCUCCUAAACCAAUCCCUGGGCAUCCCUUUGUUUGUGCCAAUUCCACACACUAAUCUCUCUGCCCUGUUUGCAGAUGCUGGUGGGAUGGAGCUGCAGUUUGUGUCUGUGGAGCAGAUUAAACACUGUCUGCCCCAGCCUAUCUUAACUGUCUUCUCACUGGUUAGCAGUCCUUGGAAGAACAAACAAUCCAUCCAAGCUACCAGAAAGCAGAAGUUCCAUGAUUCGUGACCAGAGUCUCACAGCACAGUAAAAUUCAUCUCUACAAACGCGUUUAUGGCUGAACAGACUUCACCAACUCAGAGGGCCUUCUGGAUUCUAAGCUGACUGCUGUUCCCUGAGCUUGUGACCACUGCAGCCAUCUCAACACUAGAGGACACUCCAAGCCCAGGCUUGCCAUGAGUUUCAUGAGGACUCUGAGGUUGACAAUGGCUUUCCAGCCCAGAUGGACCUAAGGAAGACCCAAGAAGGAUACUGGACUGAGGGACCUGAGUCCAGAAAACUGUCCUGUGGCCCAGACAAGUGUGUCUCCUAGCAGCUCUCUGCAGUUCUCAACUGCAGCAAGAGGAGAUGGAAUUGAGACUGGACCACGUCAGGAUCUGCUGUGGGAAGGAGCUGGUGGGCCUAUCUUAUUGUCUCCGAUGUGCAUGCAUCACCCAGCUGGUCUCUGUAUGAGUGGGGUAGUUCCUAGACUGCAGUAGUAGGGGCUAGAGCUGAGACUGGGCCCCAUCAUGGACUCUGCUAUGAGAGGCUGGAGAGCCCAAUCUCAGCUCAGAGAGGUUCAUGUCACCCAGCAAGUUUCUGCACAAAUAAGAUAGUUUCUCAUCUAGAGUAGGAGGGGCUGGAGCUGAGACUGGGUCUCCUUGAAAUCUGCUGUGGGAUGGAAGCUGAAGAGCCUGUCUUAUUGGGGCAGAAAAGGACACAUCUCCCAUCAGGUCUCACAACAAAUAGGAUAGUUCCCUGGUUGCUGCAGAGGGCAGGGUGGAGCUAAGACUGAGCCCACUUGGGAUUUCCUAUGAGGCAGAGGUUGGCAAAUGUGUUUGGGACGCUCAGGCUUUUGGGUUGUGGGAUACAGGCAAGUCUCCCUCUGGGUCCUUGUAUAAGCACCUCUGAACUGAAACAUCAGCUGAGAAAGGCUGGAGCAGAACCACAGGGCCACUUUCAGAUUCACUGCUGAGACCGAUGCCGGUGGGCAGACAAGGCUUUCUGCCAAGGCACUAGUAUGCACAAUUUCUUCUGGACUCCUUGGCAGACAGUUUUGGUUGCAGGCUCAAGGCCAAACAGGGCUGUAGCCAAGUCUCAAUCCCACAGCACAGAUACCAAGGGGUCCCAGUCUCAGCUCUGGCCCCUCCUGCUGUAGUUGGGGAAUUAUCCUAUCUACACAGAAACUUGCUUGGCCAUUUCCAGGCAUGAACCUGGAAGUAAGCUCAGAAAAUCAGCUGACCUGGCUGUUGGUCUGUACUCUCAAAACAACCUCCUAGUCUUGAGCCCUCUCGGGGCUUCACAAACUCCUACCUGAAUCCUGGGGCUUCCACUGACAGACUUUUGAUUGUAGACUUGACAAUAAUUCUUGUACCCAUCUUGUCGUUGCGGGUAUGAGCAGGUUACCUUCUAUUUUGCCAUCUUGGCAAUGACACUCAGUAAAUGUUUUUUUUUCAUGUUGAUUUUCUGAUCCUGCUAAUCUGUGAAAUGGAGAGAGACGACAUAUCUCUUAGCUGUGUUAAUCCAAAUAUCUGAGUUAUCAGCCAAGACAAGGUAAGAAUCUAACUUCAAGGGCCCUGGAGGAAGAUCCCCUGCCUCUGCCCCCCACUUCUCGAUGGUUCUUUUAAGAGAAAAGAUACCACUUAUGGAAGUACAGACUGACUCAGAAAUUGGAGGACACAGUGGAAGGGAGCUAACAUCUAAUAAGACCCCCAUGUGUCAGGCAUGAAAAUACAAGCUCUCAUUUCACCCUCACGGCAACUCGAAGGUGAGAGUGUCCAGCUCCCUUUCAUAAGUGCAUGUACACAAGCAUGGAUGUGGUGCACAGUGCUGACGUCUGCAUUGCAUCCAUAAUGUUGAGGGAGGCCAUUCUUGUUAAUAAUCAAGUACUCGCCUCGUGACAAAAUACAUGCUUUCCUAAAGAAGUAUAUGAAGUCACAGAUCAAAGCCUCCUUAUCUGCAGUUUAUAUUUAAGAACUUAGUAGUUCCAGGCAUGGUGCUAAGCACUUUACCUAAUCUCACUCAAUCUUCACAACAAACUCUGCAAAACACAUAUGUUAUUAGCCCCAUUUUCAGGCUAAGAUAUGGAGAUUUGGUGAGGCUGAGUAAUAGGGCUGCACAACUACUAAGUGGCAGAGUCAGGAUUUGAACUCAUCUCUGCCUGACUUCCAAGGAUCUCCUCAGACAUAAGCAAAAUCACAAUAGAGAAAAUACUUAAAUUAUAUAUUGGAAGGAAAAUAUUAUUUCCUUUAAAAAUAAACAGAAUCAAAAUUACUGAGGUCCCAUCAAAGUUUCUCUGUCACCCUACAAGUAGAGAGUGGGAAAUCAGAGGGACAGUCAGAUUUAUGUUUUGUUCCUUGAUUUCCUGCCAUGCUCCUUCAGGAUAUACAGUUGCACUGUCUUCUUAUUAAAAACUCCUAUGGAAUAGAUCAGACCUGAAUAUGGAACCUGAAUAGAUCAAGUUUUUUUCCCCCUCAUUUCAGGCUUAGAAUCUAGCAAAGUUAGAAGGGAAAUCCUUCCACUGGGCAUGUAAAAUUUUAAAACAAGCCCGUGGGAUGACUUUCUUUGCUUCUCUGACCUAUACUAGAAUCAUGUAUAAAAUGGAAACGGUAAUAAAUGAAUAUAACCAAGUGACAGAGACACACAUCUGCACACCCACUGUCUUUGUGUCCUAAUGCUGACACAGUGCAGCUGUAGUAUCAGUGACACGGUGUUCCUGGAAAGUUGAUCAAUGAUUCCCUUCCACAGUUCAGGCUUUAUUAUAGGAGGUAUUAGUUAGCUCAUUACUAUUAGUCAAAUACCUUGGUGUGCCUUCUUCAAGAGCUCCUUUAAAUGCUCCUCUUUUAUUCUACUUUGAAGUCCCAAAAGCAGAUGCUGCUUUUAUGGAAAAACCUAAUUGCUGUGGAAUCUAAUGUAUGUCCUACUUCCAUACCCAAACCUCCGCCUUCCUGUUUAAUGGACAGCAUUCUCAUGACUCACAUUUGAUUUAUGGGCUGGAAGGCGCCACACCUUUUUCUGGUCCUGUCUGCACAUAUUGUUAAGUGUCAUCAACUCUGGAAAAAAGCAUUCAUGGGUUAGUUAUGUCAAUAAUAUGAGACAUUAAAAGAGACUUGUCCUACAAACAAAAUAGUAAAUGACAAAUGCAAGGUUUUGUAGUCCUGUGUGCCUCUCUGCUGCACCCUAGAGCCUAUGAUUGUUCUCUUCAUGUUUGCAGCACGAGGCAUCCCUGAAGCUCAUCAUUACAUAGCAUGUUCCUCAUUAAUAUCUGUCCACUCUAACAUUUUCAAUUCUUUUUGGAUUAGCAAAAAGGAACAAAGAGAAGUGAAAUUUAGAUACCUAAUCAGUAGUGUAAAAUAACAAAACAGUAGCCUAUAAAGCAAUGGGAUGUGGGGACUGUGUUCUGUGAUGGCAGUUGUUUUGGAUGGCUCAUAGCUCUGAAUAAUUUCCCAGCAUUCAUCCAAUUUGAUGCUACUAUGAAAAAAUAAUGUCUAUAAAAUCCACAUCCCAAAUAACUCUUAUUGCAGAUAAUUCCCUUCUUCCACUUUCCCAGUCUAACAGAAUACAAGUUUGUUCAGAGAAUGAGAGAAAACCUAUCCCAUUAAAUCUUUGCCUAGCACAUACGGUGCCCUGUGACACAGGUCUGGUUAGUGAUGCUGACAAAAGGCUUCUAGGUAUUUACAGGAAAACUCUUGCAUUUCUGCUCAAACACUGCUCCUUCCACCUUGAGUGUCGGUGUGAAGCCUAGAGCUGCAGCGGCCAUCUUGCAACCGUGAGACGAGGAACGUGAGAAUGACAGCCUACAGCUAAGGGUGGCAGAGAAGGAUGGCAGGAGCCUGGAUCCAGGAUGGCACCAAUGCUUCCUUUACUAGCUUCAGACUUCUUAUUGCUUGAAAUAAAUGCCCAUCACACUUAAGUCACUGUUACUCUGGUUCUUUGUUGCUUGCAGGUAAAGAGUAUAACAACCAAUACAGUCUUACACACACCUUAGCUUCUGUUUCUGAAUUCCCCAAUUAAACCUAUACAUUUCUCUUAAAUUCAGAGAGAAGCUAAGUAGCCAUGUUGCCUUUAUUUGGGGUCUGGGCAUUGACACUCCACAACAGCCUCUUGCUUUCAUUACAAUUAACUCUAGUGCUAGAUAAAUACUGGAGUUAAAUGGGGGGGGGGAAUAAUAUUAGAAACAGGACAACUGUGUAUAAAGUCAAUGGAAUUGUAUGUGUUAUGCAACCCUUGUUAUGGCUGAAUAAUGUACAACAGAAUAUUAUUCAGCCAUUAAAUGAAUGAGGACUGACUGAUUCAUACUACAACAUGGGCAGACUUUGACAACUUUAUUCCAAGUGACAGAAGCCAGUCACAAAAGAGCACAUGCUGUGUUACAUAAUUUAUAUGAAAUGUCAAGAACAGGCAAAUCGAGACAGACAAAAAGCAGAUUAAUGGUUAUCAGGGGCUGGGAGGACAGGGGAUGGGAAGUGGCCACUUAGCUGGUACAGAAUUUCCUGUUCUGGAAUUAGGUAGUGAUGGUGGUUACACAAUAUUGUGAAUGCACCAAAAGCCAUGAAGUGUAUACUUUUAAAUGGCUAAAAUGAUGAAUUUUAUGUUAUGUGAAUUUUACCUCAAUAAAAAGUCAUUUAACUAUGCCA
Non-coding RNA from Callithrix jacchus (white-tufted-ear marmoset), 58305 nucleotides. The record is from RefSeq and is a predicted model, not a curated record. NCBI's taxonomy places the organism in Eukaryota, Metazoa, Chordata, Mammalia, Primates, Cebidae.